RNAcentral lists this long non-coding RNA (87167 nucleotides) under Medicago truncatula (barrel medic). RNAcentral's name for it is "long non-coding RNA (MTRU_LNC005151)". Lineage: Eukaryota; Viridiplantae; Streptophyta; Magnoliopsida; Fabales; Fabaceae. The record is from RNAcentral.
UACAAGAUCUAAAAGCUGUAGGAAUAAGACUUAAGACAAGCAUGACACAAAGGCCAAGAGACAUAGAUUUCUGCGGAGGAUGGUUCGCUGCAGAACUGACUCUUCCUAUGAUCAUUGUGACCAACGGUUCAGCCCAUAUGUUCCUCAACCUGAUAGCAUAUGAGAUGUGUCCAGAUUUUGAGAACGAUUACGAAAUUUGUUCUUUUCUAGCUUUCAUGGACUCGCUCAUCGACCAUCCUGAAGACGUGAAGGAAUUGAGAUCAAAUGGGAUUUUGCUCAAUAAACUUGGGAGUGAUGAGGAAGUUGCCCAUCUUUUCAAUAUCAUAAGUACUGACUUGGUACGAAACACAUACAUAUACCAUGACGUUAAAUGGAAAAUAAAUGAUCAUUACUGUAAUAAAUACAAGACUUGGAUAGCGCAGGGUUUUCACACUUACUUCAACAGUCCUUGGGCCAUUAUUGCAUUCAUUGCUGCGGUUGUCGUCCUUGUUCUUACUUUCAUUCAGACAUGGUUUACAAUUCACCCGACUAGCAAAUAAAAGUGAUUCGUUAUGACAAUGUUGUUUUCAUUAUGGCACUCAACACUUCUCUGUGGAUUGUGUUGAAUUUUUUUAAUGAAAUUUUUUUAGGUUAAGUUUGCGUGUACGUUUUAGCUAUGAGUAUUUCAAAAAGAAAGAGUGCCUUUAUAUUUCUACUGUGUGUUUGAAUUGAAACUUGAAUAAAUUAAUAUUCUCACUGAUGAUCUACGUGUUUCUAUAUUGUUGAGAUUAUGUUGAUUUUGUUUAGUUGAGUUAUUUAAUUGUGUUCAUCGACAUUGCAAUAAGUGAAUAGACUCAAGUGGGUUCAUAAGACAAGUAUAUAUUAUAGGUUGGGUAUUCAUAGACAUGACAAAGCACAAAGUAUUUUUGUUUAUGUUAUGAAUCAUGGAAUCCUAGGGAUAAAGAUCAUAGUGAUCGAUCAGCUAGAAAGAGAGCAUAGGUCUAUUAAUGUGGGAGAUACACAUAGUGACUCAUAGUAGAGUAAACUAGAUUAGAUAAAAGAAGAAUAGAGUACACUGGUGAGGGUUAUUUAUAGGGGUGAGUUAGUCUAACUAACUCCUAACCUACCAACUAACCAUAGUUUACAUAUCAACUAACUAUGGUUUACUCACUAUACUCUAAUAAUCUCAGGGAUAAAGAUCAUAUUGAUCAGCUAGAAAGAGAGCAUAGGUGUAUUAAUGUGGGAGAUACCCAUAGUGACUCAUAGUAGAGUAAACUAGAUUUGAUAAAAGAUGAAUAGAGUACAAUGGUGAGGGUUAUUUAUAGGGGUGAGUUAGUCUAACUAACUCCUAACCUACCAACUAACCAUAGUUUACAUAUCAACUAACAAUGGUUUACUCACUAUACUCUAAUAGUCCCCCUCAAACUCAAAAUGGGAAAAUUCACCAAUUUGAGUUUGAAAAUACAGUGAAAAUACUAUGAUGAACUAUACUGUAGACCAAGUAAACUAGACGGUGAACUAAGUAAAACAAAAACUAAUGGGAAAUGAUGCAGCCCAAUGCAAAAUUAUAAUCUGUCCAUAGCCCAUUUGCAAGGAAUUUCCAGUAGGUACACAUUGCCACUCCCAUUGUGAAAGUUCCAAAACAUCGUAAUGAAGGAGAAACGCCAUGUUGCUAACUGAACGUACUUUACCAAAAUAGCUUGUACCAAACGUGCUUUUCAAAAAUCGCUUUUCCAUAAUCUGUAAAGUGAUUAGUCUUCUGUAAAGAGAAACAAGAUAACGGGAUAAUCCUCUUGUGCAAAACGUGCUUCUUCCAGAAAUAGCUUUUCUGAAUGAAAAAUAACUUAUGCCAAAAGCACUUUUCCAAAAAACAGCUUUUCUAAAAAUCGAAAUUCUGAAACGCACUUUUGUGAUUCUGUGAUUGUCCAAACGCAAGUCUGAACGGAAUCAAAACAACUCAUACCAAACGCGUUCUUCCAAUAAGCACUUCUCCAAAAUCCGAUUUAAAAUAACUUCUUCAAAACGUGCUUAUGUAAAGCUUCUUUAAACUGGAAUGAUGAAUCUGAGAUGAUUGAAACACGAAUUUGCGAUAUCAGAGAACAAUACAAAGCCGCAAACAAGGAAUCUCAGAUCAGAGAGCUAAUUUACGAUGUAGAGAGGAAGAAGGAGACGAACGCCAAAAGGCUCAAAUCUUGUUGUGUCGAGUAUCAGAAAGAACGAUACCUAUGUCGAAAAUGUGCCACCGUGAAUAACCGUUUUCCUUCCUCUAUCCCAAGGUAUCCACCACAAACGGAAGGAACGAUAUCAGAGAACAAUAAAAGCAGAGAACAGUGAAGACAAAUGUGUUCUUCCGCCGGGAUCGAAUUCCACAAUAAACUCGUCAUGUAAUGUGAAAAACAAAAGUUUAUUGUUGUCUGAGGAAACCAGCGGUUCAGUCUGUUUUCCAAUGAACAACCACAAAGCCAAAGGCUUCACGGCGGCGACGCCGUAAACAGAGCUCCUCAAUCUCACCGGUAAAGUUGUGAUGAACUCUUUCGACACUUCAGAAAUAACGAAAUCAGAGUCGCGAUUCUUCAAUUCAGGUUCAAGAACUUCCAAUUUCUCAUCUUCUUGCGAUUCAAUGAACACACAAUCGUCUUCUUUGACGAUGUUGCAGCAAGGAUCGACGAUUACGCAAGAAAUCUCACCAAUCUUGAUGAAAAUCCAUCAAAUUUUGGUUUGAUUGAAAGGUUAGAAACCGGUAUGAUUGGAGAAUCAAAACUGCCGAAAAGGACGCAAUCUUGAGAAGUUGAAGUAUCCUAAAAUGCAGAAGUUGCGAAAACCGCAUCAUCAAAUUCUUCAUCUUCGUGGAAGCGGAAGCAUCAUCAACUUCAUCCCUAGGGUAUCACUCUGAUACCAUGUUAUGAAUCAUGGAAUCCCAUGGAUAAAGAUCACAGUGAUCAGCUGAAAAGAGAGCAUAGGUGUAUUCAUGUGGGAGAUACACAUAGUGACUCAUAGUAGAAUAAUCUAUAUUUGAUAAAAGAUGAAUAGAGUACACGGGUGAGGGUUAUUUAUAGGGGUGAGAUAGUCUAACUAACUCCUAACCUACCAACUAACCAUAGUUUACAUAUCAACUAACUAUGGUUUACUCAUUAUACUCUAAUAAUCCCAGGGAUAAAGAUCAUAGUGAUCAGCUAGAAAGAGAGCAUAGAUGUAUUCAUGUGGGAGAUACUCAUAGUGACCCAUAGUAGAGUAAAUUAGAUUUCAUAAAACAUGAAUAGAGUACAAUGGUGAUAGUUAUUUAUAGUGGUGAAUUAGUAUAACUAACUCCUAACCACCUAACCUACCAACUAACCAUAGUUUACAUAUCAACUAACAAUGGUUUACUCACUAUACUCUAAUAGUUUACGAAAUAACCUACCAACAAAAUUCAACUGAAAUCUAAUCACUAGCUAUGAAAAUGACAAACUUGAUGAAUAAUUUCUUUAUCAACUUCAGCACAAACAUUUUUUUAAGGAAACUUCAGCACAAGCUUUUUCACAUUUAAGUGCAAUAGAAAAGCGGAGAAAUAGACACCUUAGUUCCCAUCUUUGAACGAACUUAAAAACAAAAAAGUCCAUUAUUUUAAGGCUCAAGUUGUCAAAAGUAGUAAGGUAACAAUGACAUUUUAUAGAUUUGAUGAAAUUAAGAGACUUCAUAUAUUUUACAAGAGUCAAAACUCUGUCAAAUUCAAAAGCAUUCGAACACCUAGAAAAAUUCUUAUAAAUUUAGUAUCUUAAAAUUUCUUAAAUGUCGGAAGUUUCUCAUUCUUAAAGUUAGAUUACCACUCUUUGAGAUCUGAAAGUGUAAACACAUACAUAUUUAUUUGUAAACUCUAAGUGUAGAAUUCAUCUUGUUGAGGCAAAAAAGUCUUUGACUUGUGUGUUGGGGCAAUUAUGUGUUGGAGCAACUGUAAUCUUCUGUGAUUAUAGUGAAAAAAAUCUCUUAUAAGUUCAAGGGGACUAGACUAACCUUGGAUUCUGGGGUGAACCAGGAUAAUUUUAUCUCUCUGUACUCUCUCUGAUUAUCUUGCUUUGCUAUGUUUUGUUUAAACACUUUAAAAGAUUUUCAGCAAAAAUCAAUACAAUUCAAACCCCAUUCUUGUGUUUUUAUCAUCUUCAUAUAUUAUUACUGUUAAUGAAAUAGCAUCAAUGUUCGCAAAAAAAAAAACGGAAAACAACUUUAAUGUUGCUGCUAUAAUUAUGUUUAUGAAGUUUCUUUUGAAUAUAGAAAGACGAUCUAAAGGUUGAAUUUUUUUAUGACAUCUUACUGGCAUAUUUAGAACUUUAAAAUACAGUUUUCCACCAAAAAAAUAGAAAUUUUCCACAAAAGUAUGAUUAAUUAUGAAUUUUCAUUCCUUGUAAUUAAGAAUUUUUUAAACAAUUUAUAAUUAAUUCAUUCCUCGUUUAAAAACUCUAAAAUUUUAUGGUGAAGAUUCUUAUGUUGUUAUAACUAUGCAUAAAUAAUCAGGGAACAAAAUUUAACACGUGCCUAUAUGCUUACUCAGAACGAAAUUGUAAUUUUACUCGGAACGAAUUUUCAUUACGAAAUUGUAAUUUUGUCGGUAAAAUUUUGUAAACUCUGAUUGUAAUGCUUACUCAGAACGAAAUUUUGGUGUCAUUAAAAAAAACAUUUAGAUUAUAUUUUUUGUUGUUGUUAUAUUACAUUAUUGUCGGUGUCGUUAAAAUAGAUAAUCAUGGUUAGUGUGAUUUUUUAUAACUUGAAAACAACAAACAUUUAUAUUUUUUUAGUUUUAAUCAAAAUCAAAAUUUCAUAAAAAGAAAUUUGAUGGGUGUUACUUUGUAAUUUUCUUCUAUCACUCUCCGUUGUGGUUUUUGUAUUGGGAUAAUACUCUAAACUUCGUAUUUUGGUGGGUGGUUCUCUUUUGCACGUUUUGUGUGAGAUGAAUCACCUUGUGUGAUCUACAUAUUCCAUUUUGAUUUGUUCAAAAACAAAAUUCAUAAAAAGAACACCGUUCAUAAUAUUCAAAUGUUAGCGCAAUAAAAAGAGCGGAAAGACGAGCACAUGAGUGCCAAUCUUUUCGCUAGUAUAUAUAAAGAAAACUACCUCUUUCAGCACUUUUGGGUUGGAUUUUUCUAUUCAAAAAUACCCUUAAUUUUCAAUACAAAUAACACAUGUAACAAAUAGAUAAGAAUAAAUUUAAAUAUUAAAAAAAUAUAACAAAUACGAUAUGAAUUUAUAAAUGUCCAAUUUUUUCCUUUAUCUUUUAAAAAGUGUAACAAACUGAAUAAGUAUAUUUAUACUAACUUUUUCAUUAUUCCAAUUAUACCCUUAAACAAUUUUUUUCUAUAAUAAAGAUUGUUGUUAGUGUCAUUAAAAAAAUAAUUUAGUUUAGUUUAGUUUGUUAUAACUUGAAAACAAUAAACAUUUAUAUUUUAAUUUUAAUCAAAAUCAAAAUUUAAUAAAAAAAUCACCGUUCAUAAUUUUCAAAACUUACCGCAAUAAAAAGAGCGGAAGUGUCCGUCUUUUCGCUAAUAUAUAUAUAUAUAGAGAGAGCGCAAUUGUGCUUGUUUUCGCUAAUGAAGUAAGGCAACAAUACCAUAUAUUUAAAUCACAUUCAUCUCAAAUUUUUAUGUGUAUCUUGUAACACUCUGUUUUCACGUUUCAUGUAUGUAGUUGCUGCACACUCUUGUUUAUUUGUUUUAAGUAUUUUAGAAAUGCCCAUAGAUAGUAAAACCCAUGGGGAAAGUUUCUCUCGGAAAAACAUGAACCUGAAUCGUAUUUUACAGUUGAUUAGAUGUGCAUUAGAUUUUUUUUUUUUUAUUUUUUUUUAAUUUUUUUUAUGAAACUAUAAGAGUGUGCUUGGAUGGGAGAAUAUUUUGAGGUAAUGUAAUGUUUUGAGGGGAUUCAAUUAUUUUGAGGUGGAUUCAAACAAUAGAAUUCAUCUCAAAGUAGUUAAAUUCCUUCAAAACAUUACAUUCCCUCAAAACAUUUCCCCAUCCAAACAUACCCUAAUGAAAUAUAUUAACCAAGGUUCUUAGCAUUUCCCGCACAAGGAGUGCCAGAAGAGGAUUAAGAGAGAAAAUUAUUUGUACAUCAGAAAAACAAAAAAAAAAAAAAAUCAAAGCGAUACAACCACAUAACUGACACACUAAAACACAAAGAAUGAAGCUAAAUAUUAAGUCCCAAACACAUAAGGAGAUUAAGCUACCACAUAUGGUAGUUAAAAGCAAAAUUAAGGUGAUUUGCUUUUAACCACCACAAGGAUUGAAGCUUAAAUUUAUCUAGAAGAAGUUGAAAAGGAUCCCCUUUUUGUUGAAAAGCUCUAGCAUUUAUGUCUCGUAAAAUAGUCCAAACACAAGAGAACCAAAUCAAACGAAAAGCAUGACAACUGUUUCUUGAGAAACCACCUAACGAUCGAAAUUGAAGUAAGUGGUCCUUAACAUGAGUUGGCUUGACUGAAACCCAACCCAGCUAAUUGUAAAUAUCUAAUCAUAUUUUACCAAAAUAGUCGCAAGUCAAAAUCUCAUGAUCAAUAUUCUCUUCAGAGCCGCAAUCACCCGAGCAAAAAUGAUUAUUCGGUUGAAACACCCUUCUCCUGAUUAAGUAUAUGUUGUUGGAAGACGGUUACGCAAUAAGCGUCAAGCAUAAAUGUUGAAUUUUAAAAGGACCUCUUUGUGCCAAAUGGUUUUUGGUUGAUCGUUGUCUAAAUGUUGAUCUCGAUCCCUUGCUGUUAAAUAGUUGUAAACACUAGUAACAUUGUAUCUUGAAGAGGCAUGAAAUUGCCAAAUCCACAUAUUAUUCACAUCAGCAUGCAAAGCAGUGGGUGAUAAAAGCACACAACACUCGCUCUCUAGUUCCUCCUCCCAAGACAACAAUCUCCACUAUCAUUUCCAAGCCACACCACCCUCCCCCAACCUAUUCUUCAUAAAACAACCUACUUAUUCAGCAAGGUCAAAAAUGCGACUGAAUCUAUUCUUCAAUCCUCCCUCCAUCCAAGUAUCCCACCAAAACAAAGUACAUAUUCCAUCUCCCACGUAAUGUCGUAAGUAAUCGAUAAACAACCUACUUACCCCCUCUGCGCCACCCUUAAUACUAAUCAAAUUUUCCACCACACUGAAGCUACUUUUCCUCCAUCACUGAUAGUUCCACUUUCCUCACCAUACCUCGUUGUUGAGAUUCGAUACCACAAACAACCUUUUUUUCUCGCUCAACCUCCAACACCACUUAGUGAGUAAAGACAAAUUAAUCUAUCUAAUCCUUCUGACCCUCAGACCUCCAUCCUCCAUUUUUAAGAAAUAAUAUCUCAAUUCAUCCAAGAUAUUUUCCUAGAAUCCUCACUCCCCAACCCCCCAAAAAAAUCAAUUAAAAAUAUAUUAAGGAGAAUAAAUCAUACAUGCGGGAGCAUUGAAUAAGAAAAUAAAAUAGACAAGUAGAGAUGACAUAAUAGACUUCAAAAGAACCAAACAGCCACCCAAAGUUAAAUAUCUACUCUUCCACCCAAUAGUUUAUAAUUAACUCACUCAAACAAGGGAUUCCAAAAGUUAAAUUUAUGGGACUCACCACCAAUAGGGAGACCCAAAUAAAAGAAAGGUACACGACUAGUUUUAUAAUUUAACACUAUUGAAGCCUCAGUGAACCAGGUAUCUGACACAUUAAUCCAACAAGCACGCUUUUAUGAAAUCUGACCUUGAGGCCUGAAGUCACUUCAAAAAAUAUGAGCAAAGCCUUUAAAGAUCGGAUAUUUGCCAAAUUUUUAUUUCCUACUAGUAAAGUGUCAUCGACAAACUGCAAGUGAGAAAUAAUAACAUUGUAUGUCUGGCCAACCUUGUAACUUAAGAAUAAACCAGCACGAAGUAAAGCAUUCAUCAUAAAAUUAAGGCCUUCCACCACAAUUAAUAAGAGAAACAGAGAAAGUAGGUCACCUUAGCGCAUACCUCGUUCUAGCUGUAACUCGUUUGUUGGCAGUCGCUCACUAGCACAAAUGCAGACAUUGUAGUUACACACUCCAUGAUCCAUUUGCACCAUAAAACAGGGAAAUUCAGUUUGGUCAUAAGAUCAUUAACGUAACGUGAAUCAACAAAAUCAAAAGCCUUCUCAAAAUCGACUUAAAAAGGAUAAACUUGUUUUUCAAGCGGCAAGCACCGUCUACAUUCUUGUUUGCAAUUAAAAUACCGUCUAGAAUUUGUUUGCCAUGAACAAAAGCUGGAUGAGACUUUUAAAUGAUGCUUUUGAUGGCACAACGCAAUCUAUUAGAUAGCACCUUAGCCAAAACUUUAUACAUACACCCGAUCAAAGAGAUCGGUCUGAAGUUUGACAAACGUUAAGGGUUUUCCAUCUUAGGAAUAAGAGCGAUAAAAGUACUAUUUAUUCCUUUAGAUAACUUCUCAUUCCAAUGAAAUUUAGAGAUGAAGCACAUAAUAUCAUCUUUAAGCUCAACCCAAAAAUCCUUAAUGAAGCCAAAAUUAAUUUCAUCAGCCCCCAGACUCUUAACUAUCGCAGUCCCACAAUGCCUGCUUCAGCUCUUCAAUGCAAAAUGGUUUUGUUAAAAGUCCACCUUGGUCCAGAUUGAGAGUUUUGUAAGUAAGAUUUUCCACAAUAGGCCUGUCCAAGUUUGUAUCGUGAAAGUGAUUAUCAAAAUGAUUAAAGAUUGCACUUCUGAUAUCAGUCACUCCCCCGAUUUGCAGCCCAUUAACUGAGAGAGAGACAAUUGAGUUUGAUAUUCUUCUAGAUGACAUAAUACCAUAAAAGAAUUUGGAGUUAGCAUCACCUUCUUUUUGCCAACUAAUUUUAGAUUUUUCAUUGCAUGCUUGUAUUGAGCUUAGACAAAGAGAGCAAAUUUUCCGAAUAUGAGUGAAGUUCCUUAACCUCUUUUGCCUCAAGAAUAAAAUCUUUACCUUUAGAAUCAAGUAUUUAUAUGCUUAUGUGAAUAUCAUUGAUUCUAGCAUCUAAAUUUUGAGUAUGAUUUUAAUGCCAAACUUUGUGACUACCUUUGAUCAGUUUUAAUUUUUCCUUAAGCACAUACUCUCCCCAACCUGACACUUGCAAAGAAUGCCACUUGUCUUGGACAAAAAGAUGAUAAACUGGAAGAUCACCCCAACAUUUUAACAUACGUUGCAGUCCAGAUCUAUACUUCUAACAAAUCAAACGGAUCAGAACGGACUUAUCAAGCAUCCAAACGCCAAGGAGUUUGCUCAAAAGGGAUUUUGCUCAAUUCCCUUGGGUAUCUAAAGGAGAAUCUGCAUGGUAACAGAGGGAGGAAGUACGGUACUUAAAUUCUAGAAACAGUAAAAGCAAAGAUCCUUUUUUCAUUAAUUUUACUUAUUUUGUACAUUGAGUAAAGUGGUGGACAUAUAGUUUGUUAUGAGGACAAAAUACUUUUAGUAGUCAAGAUUAGGAAUACAAUUCAAUUAAAGUGAGCUGUAAGAUUUAUUUUAAGCAAGCAUAUUUACUUAUCUUGUUCAUUAGGUAAAGUUUCAAGAGCAUGAAAAUUUAAAGCACUACACUGAGCCCAUCUAUAUGUAAUACGCAUUUUGAUUUAUGUUUUCGUUAAGUUUGAAAGAUCAAUAUCCCUCAACCAUUACAUUGUGUUGUGAAUCCGAUUAAAACUCACAUCAAUGUAAACAAAGAUGUGUGGAGCAAAAGGGAGUGGUAAUCUAUGAGUAAAGUGUCUCCAAGCAACAACAACAAAAACAGCCCUAGUCUAGUGUAGAGCAACACCACAAGAGAAUACAAAGCAAACAAGAUAAGCAAGAAAGGAAGAACAAACACACCAAAAAGAUUGUUGACCCAGUUCAGCCAAUAUGGCCUAAUCUGGGGGAGAGAGCAGCUCUCCAAUCCACUAUAAUGAAAGUGUUACAAAGGGUUACAAGAAAAAUAGCUUGCAAGCUUACACAAGAACAAGACCUAGAUUCUACCCAUUUGUGUUUCCCCACUCUCACAAUAUGAACCCUAAAAGAGAAGACACUAGAGGAAGCUUUAGAUCCUUCCAAUGGUGAAAUCUCACUACCCAAGGUGUUUACAAUGUUUUUCCCAACCCAAGAGAUCCUCUCUACAAAGACACUCAACCCUAGAGUUCCCUCCUUUGUAAUCCAAGUUUCUCUCUCUAAGCUCUUCCAAGCUCUCCUUCAAAAUAGCACAAGAACACAAUAUAUACUAGUCUCCUUCUGAAGCAAUCGUGUCACGAUUUGCGUCCGUUCCAAGGCAUGACCAGUCCUUAUCAGUGAUACUUAAUGAGCAAGUUUCUGAAUCGUGUCACGAUUUCCCAAGAUCGUGUCACGAUUUGGCGUCCUGCAAACUAGCUCACGGCACCUCGAAAUCGUGUCACGAUGCCAAAAUCGUGUCACGAUUUCUCUGUUCUUCCAGACCACAAAUUUGAAGCCAAUAUCAACAUUUCUCCACCUUGACUUCUAAUUUGGUGGUGAUGUCAGUUUAACCAUCAACCACCAUGCUGCUCUCUCCAAAAGGGAAUUACUCUUCGACAAAUUUGAUCAAGUCCAAGCAAUGCUUGAAUCUUGAUCUAGGCAAUGACUUGGUGAACACAUCCGCCGGAUUCUCCUCCGAUGCCACUUUCUCAACCACAAUCUCUUUUGAUUCAAUCAUGUCUCUAACAAAGUGCAGGCGAAUGUCAAUGUGCUUUGUCCUUUCAUGAUACACUUGAUGAUUUGCCAAGUGAAUGGCACUUUGACUAUCACAAUGUAUCUUCACACAUUCUUGAGUAAUUCCUAACUCACCAAUCAUCCCUUUCAACCAUAUGGCCUCCUUCACACCUUCAACAAGUGCGAUGUACUCCGCUUGAGUUGUAGAUAAUGCCACCACGGAUUGUUGAUUUGCCUUCCAACUAAUAGCCGUGCCAUAAAGAGUAAACACAAAACCCGACAAGGAUUUUCUAGUGUCCACGUUGCCCGCAUAAUCCGCAUCAACAUACCCCUCCAAAGCGUCUUCAUCUUGAGCUGCCCUUGUGUACUUCAAACCGCCCUUCAACGACCCAUUCAAAUACCUCAAAACCCACUUCAAAGCUUGCCAAUGCACAAUUCCCGGAUUUGCCAUAAACCGACUCACAAUGCUAACCGCAUAAGCCAAGUCCGGCCUACUACAAACCAUUCCAUACAUGAUGCUUCCAACCCCACUUGCAUAGGGAGUACCUUCCAUCAAUUGCUUCUCAUCCUCGGAUUGAGGACAUUGUUGUAUGGACAACUUUGUGUGGUGACCCAAGGGAGUGCUCACGGUUUUAGAGUUUGACAUUCUAAACCGCUCCACCACCUUCUUCAAAUAACCAAGUUGAGAUAAGAAAAGUUCGCCUUUGUCACGAUUCCUCUUGAUAUCAAUCCCAAGAACUCUCUUUGCCGGACCAAGAUCUUUCAUCUCAAAUUCACCAUUUAACCUCUCCUUGAGCUUCAUAAUCUCAUCCUUGCUAGAGCUCGCCAUCAAGAUAUCAUCCACAUAUAAAAGAAGAUAGAGAAUGACUUUCUCACUCUUCUUCAACAUGUACACACAAGAAUCAUAUCCGCUUCUCACAAAACCGGUCUUCAAAAGAAACUCAUCAAACCGACGAUACCAUUGCCUAGGGCUUUGCUUCAACCCAUACAAAGAUUUCUUCAAAAGACACACCUUAGACUUGUCCUCCACAAAACCUUCCGGUUGCUCCAUGUAGAUUGUCUCUUCAAGGUCACCAUGUAAGAAAGCGGUCUUCACAUCCAUUUGUUCCAACUCAAGAUUGAAUUGAUUCACGAUAGUCAUAAGUAUCCUUAUGGAACAAUGUUUCACCACCGGUGAAAAGAUCUCGUUGUAGUCGAUCCCCUCCACUUAAAUGAAACCCUUAGCCACAAGUCUUGCUUUGUACCUUGGACCUUCAACACUCGGAAUACCUUCCUUUUUCUUGAAGAUCCACUUGCAUCCAACUACCCUUUGGUGAUUAGGUAGCUUCACAAGUUUUGAAGUUUGGUUCCUUACCAAUGAAUCAAUCUCUUCAUUCACCGCCUUCAACCAAUAAUUGCUCUCUUUGCUCUCAAAUGCCUCCUUGAAGUUUCUAGGCUCCAAGUCAUGCACAUCUUCAGCCGCAUUUAGAGAAAAACACACCAAGUCCGCAUAACCAUAUCUCCUAGGAGCCGUAAUGGUCCUUCUUUCUCUAUCUCUAGCCAAGAGAUAAUCCGGAUUCACUACCGGUUGAGUUUCAUUUGUAUCGAUGUUGAAGCUUCAUCUUCUACAUCUUCUUCUUCUUCAUUUGGAAGCUCCACCUCAAACUGAGUUUUCUCCACCAUUUUCCGGUACUAAAGUCUCUAGGUCUUUACACAUCAUCCCCAUACGGGUCUCAUCGAAGGUAACAUCCCUACUAAUCAAGACUUUUGAUCCUCCAAUAGAUUCCAAUUUCCACAACUUGUACCCCUUCACACCUUCCGGAUAACCAAUGAAGACACAUGAUGUAGUAUUUUUGCAUCAAACAAUUGUAAGUAUUUAUAUCGUCUCCUCAGGGACAAGUGCGAUAUCGCGGACCGUUCAACACCAUCAUUCUAAGUUAAACGAUAAUUUGUUGUUUGUUUUAGUAACUAAAUUGCAAAUGAUAAAAUUGAGAUUAAUAGGGCGUGAAACUUGUUAGGAUUAGAGUUCCUUGAUCAAGCAUCACACAUAACCUAAUGAACAAACAUGGAUUCUAGCUUUUCAUUGAUAUUAUCACGUAUCCCUCGACAACACUAUUCGUGUCCAAACAAUAUUGUGAAAUCAAUUAUAUCAUUCAAUCGUCGAUGUCUCAAACUAUUGAAUGAUUCAAGAGUCGAUCUUAUCGUACAAUCGAUGAUUUCUAAAUCUAUUGAAUGAUAAGAAAGCUUUAGGUUUGGAUACACAAAGUGAUUAUCAAAACAUCGAUUCCAUGUCUAGAACCUAUGUUUCGAUAGAUGGUUAUUCUAAACCUAGAUUCAAAAGUAUUUCUCAAUCACAAUUAAAUCAAAGAUAAAGAUUAAAGUGCAAGAAUAACAUCAAUAUCAAAUCAAAUGCUAGAACCAUAUAUUUAUAGAUCAAAAGAUUACAUGUUAAGCUAAGAUCAAGUACCUCUAAUGCCAACAAAGGAGAUUUAGCUACUCAUUGUCAUGGAAGCCUUGCAAGGAUGAAGUGAAAGAGAAAGAUCCAUUACACACUUGUUAUCUCUCAACAAAGUGAUGUAGAAUUCACUUUCUAUCACUCCCACUCUAUAAAGCACAAGCCCUAUCUCUCUCUCUAAGAAUAUUACAAGUGAAAAGUAUGAAAAACUCAGAGAAAACUAAGUAUAUCAAUGAAAUGGUUGAGUGGGCUAUUUAUAGAAUUCUGACUCUGCAUCAACUCGCCUCGCGAGCUCAUUCAUUCGCCAUGGCGAGUUGAGGUUCCUUCGCCAUUGGGUUUGUGCCACGUCAGCUGUGAGAGGCUAAACCGCCCUAGCUCGCCUCGCGAGAAAUGCACUCGCCAUGGCGAGUAAGCUCGCCUUCCACUAGCCAUUGCGAGUUGGUGGCGUGUAAUCUUUGUUGCAUUCUGGAAUUGCUCGCCUUUGAAGCUCGCCAUGGCGAGUUGGAGGCGAGUGAUCUUCAUUUUUCAGCCUCUUUGUACUUUUCUUCAUUUUCUUCUCUUUGCUUGAUGUCUUGAGUUCAAAUCCUACACAAAUGGGUGAAGUAAGAUAGAUAAAGCGUAAAAGGGCAAUAAUCACUUAUUUCUCGGCUUUUCCCUCAAUAACUUGCAAAACAAGUCACAAAAGUGCCUAAAAUAUAUCAUUUAAAAUACAACUUUCUAGCACUUAUCAACACAUUUCAAAGCUCUAGGCUCAAGCUUGUCUUGCUUGAUAUGCGCAUAUGCCAAAGCUCCGAAAACCUUCAAAGAGGAGUAAUCAGCCGGUUUCCCACUCCAUACCUCCAUAGGUGUCUUGAAGUCUAUACCCGUUGAUGGACAUCUAUUGAUCAAAUAAGCAGCCGUUGUCACAGCUUCACCCCAGAAACUCUUAGGUAACCUAGCUCCUAGAAUCAUGCAUCUCACACGCUCCAAAAGAGUCCUAUUCAUGCGUUCAGCAAGACCAUUUUGUUGCGGUGUUUUCGGUACGGUCCUAUGCCUCUUGAUUCCUUUAAACCUGCAAAACUCAUUAAAUUGCUCUGAAACAAACUCCAAGCCAUUGUCAGAUCUUAAACCUUUUAGUUUAGUUCCCAUUUGAUUUUCUAUGAGAGUGUGCCAUUCCUUAAACUUUUCAAAUGUGUCACUUUUGUUUUUCAAAACAAAGACCCACACUCUCCUAGAAUAAUCAUCAAUGAUAGAAAGAAAAUAGGAACCUCCCACAUAAGUAGGAGUCUUGGAAGGACCCCAAAGAUCCGAAUGCACAUACUCAAAAGGCCUACUAGAAUGAUGCAUGCCACUACCAAACUUCACUAUAUGUUGCUUGCCUAGUAUGCAUUGCUCACAAAAUUCUAGCUUGUCCAAUUUAUCUUUCCCUAGCAAAUCUUGUUUAGCUAGUUCAACUAAAUCUCUUUCACUAACAUGCCCCAACCUCAAAUGCCACAAUUCAGAAUUAUUAUGAGAUGCAACAUUAGCUACCGAUGCAUUACCAAUUACUAUGGAACCAUCUAAAAUGUAUAAACCAUUCAUUUUAGACCCCUCAACCGUAAUCAAUGCACCAUGCGAAAUUUUACAAACCCCAUGCUCAAUUCUAGUGCAAUAACCUAGACUAUCAAACAUGCUUAGGGAAAUUAAAUUUCGCUUAAGUUCGGGAACAAACCUCACAUCCCUUAAAAGGAAUUCACGGCCAUCAAACAUCUUUAGACGAACGUUGCCCAUGCCUUGGACUUUGCAAGCUUUGUUAUUUCCGAGUCGAACAACUCCUCCUUCUUUUAGAGUCAAAGUCUCAAAAUAUUCCUUUCUAGGACACAUGUGGUAAGAGCAUCCCGAGUCCAAAACCCAACUCUUCUCCAGUUCCCAACUUGUAACCACUAGUGCACCCGCACUCUCAUAACCUUCUUCAUUUGAAGCCUCCGCAACUUGGACCGAAGGACUACCAUCGCCGCCCUUAUCCGGACAAUCCUUCUUGAAAUGACCUUGCUUGUGACAAAGAAAGCAUUUAUACUUUGAUUUGUCAAAGCCCUUGGACCUCGACUUCCCCUUGCCUUUUCCUCUAUGCUCAUUCCUCUCUCUUGCAACAUUCAAGCCUUCACUACCUUCAUCAACCUUCAAGUCCUUGAACUUGGUCAAUUCCUUGGUUCUCAAAGCCGCUUGGACCUCCUCCAAAGUAGUAGUGCCCUCCUUACCAUAAAUGAUGGUAUCCUUAAAAUGCUCAAAAGACUUUGGUAAUGAACAAAGUAACAACAAAGCCUUAUCCUCAUCUUCCAUGUUAACUUCAAUGUUGACCAAAUCAUCAAGAAUCUUGCUAAAUUCCGUCAAUAGCUCCGAGAUUGAUUUAGACUCCACCAUCUUGAAUGAAUAAAGUUGUUGUUUCAAGAGUUGCUUAUGAGCUAAAGAUUUCGUCAUGUACAAUAACUCCAACUUAGCCCACAUCGAUGUCGCGGUAGCUUCUCUCGCGACAUCCCUUAAGACCUUAUCUCCGAGACAUAAAACAAUAGCACUCUUUGCCUUGUCUAUCAUCUCCUACUUCUCUUCUUGUGUCAAAGUUGCCGGCAUAGCCGCUUCACCCUUCAAUGCUUCUACACACUUUUUAUGUGUCAAAACCGCUUGCAUCUUAAUCUUCCACAACCCGAAAUCAUUACUUCCGGUGAACUUCUCGAUGUCCCACUUUGAACCCAUGAUACGAACUACCAAUAACGCCUAUGCCCCAUGGUGGGCGCCAAUUGUUGUGAAUCCGGUUAAAACUCACACCAAUGUAAACAAAGAUGUGUGGAGCAAAAGGGAGUGGUAAUCUAUGAGUAAAGUGUCUCCAAGCAACAACAACAAAAACAGCCCUAGUCUAGUGUAGAGCAACACCACAAGAGAAUACAAAACAAACAAGAUAAGCAAGAAAGGAAGAACAAACACACCAAAAAGAUUGUUGACCCAGUUCAGCCAAUAUGGCCUAAUCUAGGGAAGAGAGCAGCUCUCCAAUCCACUAUGAUGAAAGUGUUAAAAAGGGUUACAAGAAAAAUAGCUUGCAAGCUUACACAAGAACAAGACCUAGAUUCUACCCAUUUGUGUUUCCCCACUCUCACAAUAUGAACCCUAAAAGAGAAGACACUAGAGGAAGAUUUAGAUCCUUCCAAUGGUGAAAUCUCACUACCCAAGGUGUUUACAAUGUUUUUCCCAACCCAAGAGAUCCUCUCUACAAAGACACUCAACCCUAGAGUUUCCUCCUUUGUAAUCUAAGUUUCUCUCUCUAAGCUCUUCCAAGCUCUUCCCCAAAAUCUGCACAAGAACACUUAAAUACUAGCCUUCCUCUGAUAAAAUCGUGUCACGAUUUCCAGAUCGUGGCACGAUUUGAACGUACGUCCCAAGGUAUGACCAGUUCUUAUCAAGGAUACUUAACGAGCAAGUUUGAAAAUCGUGUCACGAUUUUCCAAGAUCGUGUCACGAUUUGGCACCCUGCAAACCAGCUCACGGCAUCACGAAAUCGUGUCACGAUGCCAAAUUUGUGUCACGAUUUCUCUGUUCUUCCAAACCACAAAUUUGAAGCCAAAUGUCAACACAUUGAAUGAAUGAUGUCAUCCCAAACUACCCUUGAAGAAAAUAUUGUGGAGCUACAUAGGUACAUAGAUAUAGAUCAAACACCCCAAAAUUCACGACCAAAGAUACAAAGGGUGCCACAGUAUCUCAGAAAUAGAACAAAAUUUGAGGAGCAUUACACCCCCAAGUUGGUGUCAAUAGGUCCUAUCCAUCAUGACAAUCCAAAGCUGAAGAUAGGAGAGAAAUACAAGCUUAUGUGGGCAGCAAAAUACAUCAAAAACACGGGAAGAAUUAAGAAGGAUCUACACAAAAAGAUUGUAGAUAACAUUGAUGAACUGAAGGGUCAUUUUAGCGACGACGUUUUAACUUUGACCGGCAAGUCUCUUAAAGGCUUCCGUAGCCUUGAAGAAAAGUUGUCGUGGAUAUUGUUCGUGGAUAUAUGGAUGUUCUUUGCUGCAUAUCUUAGAGAAAGCCAAGCUUCAUGAACCAGGGCAGAUGAAUAUUAAGGUUGAUAAACUGGUUCUUGUGAUGAUGGAUGUGCUUUUGUUGGAGAAUCAACUCCCUUACAUAGUACUCAAACUAUUAUUGAAAGAUAACAAUGAGAAUGAAUUGAUAAAUACCAUGAAAAAUUUCCUCAAAUGUCAUCAUUGGACCACACCAGAUAAUAAGAGGAACCGGAGGUGGCGAGACAUUCAAAAGAUUAGCAAUAUGGUUGGACAGUAAAGGAAAAGAACAACAUAGUACCGUAUUGAUUACGAAUGAGUUGGAGACAUCAUCAAAGAAGGAGAAGGAAAUGGUUUCAAAAGGAAAAGGAGAAGGAGAACACAGUGUAUCAAUACCAUUACCAAGUGAGUCCCAAUCAGAGACACCCACUCAUCUUUUUGAUCUUCAGCGUAAACUCAUCCUCAAUCCAUCUAAUUCCAAGGUACGAAAGAAAUUAGAGACAAAAGUAAAAUUUGUUACUAAAUUUUUGUCUUAUUAAAACUUAACGACAAAAUUAGAAACAGAUUUUGCCUUUUUCCGUUUCUAAAUUUGCUACCAUUAUUAUAAUUACAGAGUGGAGGUGCAAAAUGUAAUAUAUAUUAUUGUAAGAGGAAAUCAAUUUUUAAAUUUUAUUGUUCUGAUCCAAUCCAUUUUCGAUUAAAACAUAGAUUAGAGAAUAUGAAGCUUCCAAAGAGAAAUGGUCUAAGAGUCCAAAUGAAAGCAUCUCGAUUAUGACAUACAGGAGCAUACAAGAUCUAAGAAAAGUAGGAAUAAGACUUAAGUCAAGCAUGACUCGAAGUCCAAGAGACUUGGAUUUCUCUGAAGGAUGGUUGAUUGCAAAGCUAACUCUACCUGAGAUCGUUGUGGACGACUCAUCAGCUACUACUUAUCUCAACCUGAUAGCAUAUGAGAUGUGUCCAGAUUUUAAGAACAACUACAGAAUUUGUUCUUUUGCAGCUUUCAUGGACUCACUCAUCGACCAUCCUGAAGUUGUGAAGCUAUUGAGAUCAAAAGAGAUUUUGCUCAAUUCCCUUGGGAGCGAUGAGGAAAUUGCCGAUCUUUUCAAAAUCAUAGGUACCGACUUGAUACCUAAUACAGAAACAUAUUUCAGAGUUAGAGCCAAAAUAGAUUAUCAUUACCGUAAUAAAUGCAAGACUUGGAUAGUGCUGGGUUAUUAUACAUACUUCAGCAUUGCUGCAUUUAUCGCCCUUGCUCUUACUUUCAUUCAGACAGUGUUUGCAAUUCACCCGGCUAGCAAUAACGGUUGUUAGUUAUGACAAAGUUGUUUUCGUUAUGGCACUUCUAUAUGGAUUGUGUUGAAUUUUUUUAAUAAAUUUUUGGGUGAAGUUGGCGUGUACCUUCUUUAGUCUUGACUAUGUGUAUUUAUAAAAUGAAGAGUGUCUUUUUGAUUGUGCUGUGUAUAAGAAUUGAAACAUGAAUUUUCAUAUUUCAAGUUAAUUUAUUCAAAUUAUUAUUCUCAUAAACGAUCUACGUGUUUCUAUACUGUUGAGAUUUUGUUGAUUUUGUUUAGAUGAGUUAUUUAAUUUUGUGUUCAUUGACAUUUCAAUAAGUGAAUAGAUCGAAUGAGCUAAUAAAACAAGUAUAUUAAGAGUAUUAGUAGACAUGGGAACAAACAAAGUAUUGGUUACGAAACAACCUGACAACAAAAUUCAACUUAAAUCUAUUCACUAGUUAUGAAAAUGACAAACUUGAUGAAUCAUUUCUUCAUCAACUUCAGCACAAGCUUCUUCACUUAGUUUUUUCUGUCUUUUCAUCGGUCACAGAAGAAAAAUGAUUCUAUAAUUCUAGACUAACAUAUAUACCUCUCAUGGAAAAUUGUACAAAUAAUUCAUGAAUUCAAGAAUUGAUUUAUUUAUCAAAAUUAUUUAAAUUCAUGUAGAUAGUAAAACCGAUGGAAAAGGUUUCUCUUAGGAAAAGAUGAACCUGAAUCUAUUAGGUAAUUAACUAGAGUUGAUAUAGAUGUGUUAUAGUUCUUUUUCAUGAUGUUUUGUACGUUAGUCUACUAAGUGUUAUGAUAUGAUCGAAUAAGAGGAAAGCUAAAUAUUAUGAUGGAAUUUUCAACCAAUGGCAAGAAGGUGGUGGUGGUGGGUAUGUUGCUGUUGCUAUAGCAAAAACUUCGUAGGAAUUUCGAUUUCAAAAGCUGCAUCAUUCAAUUGAAACAUAAAAAAUAUUAAGAUAUGCGUCUAUAGAUUAAAUUUAAUAAAAAAAUCAUGAUUAAAGUAUAUAAGUUCUAGACUGCGUUGAGAGAAGGCGGUAGCUCUGUUAGGGUUUCUCCUUCGGGUGUAAUUUGCAGUUUUCUUGUGUGCAUCAUUCAUCUUUUUAGGUGGUAUCCAUAAACUAUCUUAAAUCUACUAAUAAAUUGCUCAUUUUCAUUGGUUAAUAAGUAAAUUACCCAUCAUUUUUUCAAAGGUAAUCUAAAAAAAACCUCAAUAAAGUGCUCUUUGUUGAAAAGGGAAUUCCAAUAGAAAGUCAAAAUUGGAAAUCACUAAUUCUUUGGUCAAAAUUAGAUGUGUGUGCUGGAAUUUCAAUUCUGGUAAUCUAGUGCUUUAAGAUAAAAAAAUGAAAUAUACUAUUGCUUUCAAUUUGCGGUUACGUGUUUACUUUACUACUCUACGAAUAGUUUCAAUUGAUUAUGAAAAUUGCAACACAUAUGCAAAGGCUUAGAAAUACGAGUAAAUUAUAUAAAUAUCCUUUACUAGUUAACUGUCGAUGGUUGCAGAACCUCUCUCAUCCAUUAUUCAUCUCAUCUUACAAAUUUUUUUUUUAAAUCUCUUUAAAAAAUCCAACCAAAUUAAUUCAACAAAAUCACAAGUAAGUAAUUAUAAUGCUAUUAACUUACAUUUUAGUUGUUAUAAAUGUUUUUAUUUUUUUGUUUUUGAGUAGAUUAACAUGUUAUAAUUCAUUUUUAGAGUAGAUGUUAUUUGAUUAAUGUUGUUAUAAUGUUUGCAAGAUGUUUAUGUUAUAAUUUAGAAUUUUAGGGUUUUUUUAUUUUAUUUUGGUGUUUUAUAUUUAUUUUUUUAUUUUAGUUUUUUAGUAUAUUUACAUGUAAGAGUAUAUGAUUUAUUUUAAGAGUAGAUAUUAGUUGAAUAAUUUUCCAAUACUUUUUGCAUUUUUAUGUUUUUUUUUAGAGUAUCGGUUUUUUUUUUUUCUUAUGAUUUUCAAGGUUUAUGUAUAAUUUGCACAUCAAGUGUUUGAUGAAAUGUUUGAAUGAGUUUUUCAUUGAUUGUUUUUUAUUUCUUAUUGUGUAGAUAUGAAACAAUGGCCGGGUGGAUCGACGUUCAUGCACAAUUCAACGGCGGAGAACCUUAGAGGUUGAAGGUUCGGUGCCUUGGUAUAACGUUAAGAGGUCUCAAGGAUGAACUGACUGAAUUCAACCAAGGAGUCAACCACCUGAGACACAAGGAGGGUGGAACACGUUCAUUAUAAACGUCCAACGCUCGACGAGGGGAGAGUAUCAUUCAGUUGGGAGGAAUUAACGAACGACGAAAAUGUGACGAGCAUGUUAUGGGAUCACAACAUGUUCCAGUGGAUCGAUAUGUGGGUAACGUUGCUGAGAUCAACUGAAGAUAUUAUCAACAGUCUGAUUCCGCCAUAAGAUCAUCAUUAGUUACCGAAUGAAUGAACCUACCAGCUACAACAAUUGUCUUCCUUUGAAUGGGUAAUUCAAACUUGCCAAACAGCAGGACUCCAAUAUUCAACCGACAUUCCCAUUGUUUCUUUCAAGAGAUUCAAUUUUUGUUAGGCCAGUUUAAAUGAAGGUAUUGAACUGUCAAAGAAUGUACCUCAUUCUUUUGACACUUGAAUACCAUAAUUUAAUCCCAACCUAACAAGAAUUUAAUCUUUUGAAUGGAACAAUGAGAAUGUCGGUCGAAUAUUUGAGUCCUGCUGCUUGGCAAGUUUGAAUUUAUCCCAUUCAGAGGUAACACAAUUGUUGUAGUUGGAAGGUACAAACGUUCGGUAUAAACGUCUAAGAGAAUACACCUUCCUACAAUAAUUGUCUUCCUUUGAAUGAGGUAAUUCAAAUUUGUAAAACGGUAGGACUUCAGCAUUCGAUCGACAUUUUAAAUGAUGGUAUUCGGUUUGUUUGAGGAAUCAGGAUAAUCGCUUGUGUCGACUCUCUCUCUUUAAACCCUAAACCCUAGGUUGAUAGGUAAAAAGAUUGGGAUAUAUGUUCUUGAAGGAAGAUAUACACCAACUUAUUUGAGUUGACGUAUAUCUUCCAAAACCUGUAUUCUCGCAAGGUCAAUUGUAUGUUGCAAUAUCAAAAGUUAUAUCAAGGAAUGGUCUGAAAAUUUUAGUACUUCGAAUGUGGUGUAUAAAGAAGUUUUCUGAAAUUUGUAAACAUGAGAAACUUCAAAUAUAAUUGUAUUUAUUAUUAUAACAUUAAAAUUAUAAGUUGGGUAAGUACUAUCUAAUUUUGCUUCUGUCUAUUGCAUUUACAAUGUAUAUGACCCAUGUUGUAUCACGGGUAGACCAUCUAGUUAGGUUUUUAAUCCCAAGGAGUUAAAAGCCAUGCAAGAAGUACCAAAAAAAAAAAAAAAGAAGCAAGAAAUAGAAGGAGAAGCUGCAUGAAACACAUAGUUAAAUUCUAGAACAGUAAAAGCAUUGAAGCAAAGAUCCUUUUUCCAUGAAUUUUACAUUUCUUGUCCAUUGAGUAAAGUGGUAGACAUUAUAUAGUUUGUCCUGAGAGAGGACAUGUAUAAAAAUCGAUUAAAGUGGAAGUGUAAUAUUUUAAGCAAGCAUAUUUACUUAUCUUGUUAAUUAGGUAAAGGUUUGUGAGCAUGGAAAUCUAGAGCACUACACUGAGCCAAUAUUAUAUAAAAGGCGUUUUGAUUUAUAUUCAUUAACCAUUAUUAUAUUGAUUGAAUGAUGGCAUCCCAAACUAUUAAAGAAAAAUUUGUGGAACUACAAAAAUCAAAGCAAACACCCCAAAAUUCACGACCAAAGAUACAAAGGGUGCCACAGUAUCUCAGAAAUAGAAACAAUUUUGAGAAACAUUACACCCCCAAGUUUGUUUCAAUAGGUCCUAUCCAUCAUGACAAUACAAAUAUGAAACCAGGAGAGGAGUAUAAGCUUAUGUGGGCAGCAAAAUACAUAGAAAACAACGGCUUUAUUCUAGAGGAUCGACACAAAAAGAUUGCCGAUAAAAUUAACGAACUAAAGGGUCAUUUUAGCGACGAUGUUUUAACUUUAACUGGCAAGUCUCUUGAAGGCUUUGAUAGCCUUGAAGAAAAGUUGUCGUGGAUGUUGUUCGUGGAUGGAUGUUCGUUGCUGCAUAUCUUGGAGAAAGCCAACGUUGAUGAAGCAGGGCACAUGAAUAUUAAGGUUGAUCAACUGAUGAUGGAUGUGCUUUUGUUGGAAAAUCAACUUCCUUAUCAAGUACUCAAGCUUUUGUGGAAAGACGACAACGAGAGUGAGCAUGAGGAAAUUCCUCAGCCGUUGUUAUUGGGACAAACCAGAUGGGUCACAGUCAGAGAAGGAGAAGGAAGGAGAAGGAGAACAUAGUGUAUCAAUACCAGACGAGUUGCAAUCAGAGAUGGAGGAGGAAGGAGAAGGAGAACAUAGUGUAUCAAUACCAGACGAGUUGCAAUCAGAGAUGGAGGAGGAAGGAGAAGGAGAACAUAGUGUAUCGAUACCUUAACCAAAUGAGUCACAGUCAAAGACACCCACUCAUCUUCUUGAUCUUCUGCAUAAAAUCAUCCUAACUACAUCUAAUUCCAAGGUACAAUAUAGAAAUAACAGUAACAAGUACUAGAAGAAUUGAAAUAACAAUCAAAAUUACAGACAAAACUAUUUGGUUACUAAAUUUUUGUCUUUGAAACUUAGACAAAAUUAGAGAGUUUGCCUUUUUCCGUUUCUAAUUUUUGUCACCAUUUCAACUCUUUGUAUUAGUUUUGAGUCUAUCUAGCAUUUUGAAUUUAUUUUGUCAUCAUAUAAGUACGAUGGAUCAUUCUAUUUCUGAUUAAAACAUAAGACUAAAAGCAAUGAAGCUAACAACAAGAAAUGGAGUCAUACGAAGAAUUUAGAGGCCAACAUGAUGACAUAUAGGAACAUACAAGAUCUAAAAGCAGCAGGAGUAAGAUUUAAGUCAAGCUUCACACGUAGGCCAAAAGACAUUAAUUUCUACGAAGGAUGGCUUACCGCAAAACUAAUUCUUCCUGAGAUCGUUGUGGACGACACUUCAGCCACUACUUUCCUCAACUUGAUAGCAUAUGAGAUGUGUCCUGAUUUUGAGAACGACUAUGGAAUUUGUUCUUUUGCAGCUUUCAUUGACUCACUUAUUGAAGAUCCUGAAGAUGUGAAGGUACUAAGAUCAAAAGGGAUUUUGCUCAAUUCCCUUGGGAGUGAUGAGGAACUCGUCAAUUUUUUCAAAAUCAUAAGUACUGACGUGGUUCCUAACAGAGAAAUAUAUUAUGAAGUUAGACGCAAAAUAAAUGAGCAUUACAGCAACAGCUACAAGACUUGGAUAGCGAUGAGUUUUCACACUUACUUCAGCAUUGCUGCGGUUAUCGCCCUUGCUCUUACUUUCAUUCAGACAUGGUUUACGGUUUACCCGCCUAACAAAUAAAGGUGCUCCGUUAUGAUAAUAUUGUUUUUGCUACGGUACUCUUCACUUCACUGGAUUGUGUUCAGUUUUUCAAAUAAAUUUUUUGGUUAAGUUGGUGUGUACCUUCUUGAAAUGAUUUAUGUGAUUCUAUAUUGUUUUCGCUAUGAGUAUUUUAAAAAUGAAUAGUGCCUUAUUCAAAUUAAUAAUCUCAUUAAUGAUUUAUGUGAUUCUAUAUUGUUGUGAUUAUGUUAAUUUUGUUUAGAUCAAUUAUUUAAUAUUGUGUUCAUCGACGUUACAAUAAUUAUAUCGCAGGUUAUUCAUGGGGCAAAACACAAAGUAUUCGUUACAAAACACAAUAUAUACUCCCUCCGUUCUAAUUUAUAAGCAAAAAACACUAAUUCACACUUAUUAAGAAAACUAAUACUUAGUGACUUGAGAUAUCAUUUUUUGUGUUCUCCUUGGAAUAAGUUUCAUGGAAAGAUGUAAAAAUAAUUCUCAUUGGUUAAAAAUUAUGGAGAAAAUGAAAAGGAGAACAAAUUGAAUGUAAUUUGCAUUUAAUUUUACAUUGGAAAAGGUGAUUUGUUUGAAAAAACAUAAUAAUAGCAUAAAAGUUGGUCCUUUUUGUUUAUAUUUUGAGACAAAGAUUAUGAGAUUUUUUUGCUUAUAUUUUAGGACGGAGGGAGUAUUUAUGAUAAUGUCAGACAUGAUGAAUCAUUUCUUCAACUUCAGCACAAGCUUCGAUUAGUUUUUUUUCUUUUCAUCGGCCAUAGAAGAAAAAUGAUUAUAUAUUCUAGACUCAUAUAUACUUCUCAUGCAAAAUAUUGUAGAAAAAUUCAGUUAGCUUGUGGCGCAAGUCAGUGUAGUGUGUUCCUUCUCCUUAUCUUUGAUCAUUUGUGUUUCCAUAUCUUUUGUGUUAUUCUUCAAUAGUACAAAAAAGGUAGCAAUAUAUAGAUCACAAAUGAUCCAAUAUCUCUACCAAAAAUUCAUCUGAACACAUAAUAAAGAAAGAUGUGGUCAUGACAACAUUGGUAUCCUCAGGUAUACACAAAGACAUUAACUAAAACUUCAUUAACUUUGUACUCAAAAAAAAAAAAACUUGAUUAGCUAACACUUCAUUCCCAUAUCUUCACCACAAAAUCAUUGUUAGACCAUCCCCAAUGGUUUUUACCAUUCAACACCACUUUUUCAAUUUCCAACACUCCACAUCAUUUUCUCUCUCUUAUUCAACACUCAUUCAACAUUUACCCUCUCCAAUGGUUUUUCAUUCAACACUCUACCCCACCAUUUUUUAUUUUUUAUUCUUAUUUAAUUUUUGUUUUUAUAAUUACAUAAAAUUAUCGAUUAUAAUUAAAUUAAAAUAAUACAAUUAACUAUUUAUUUUUUAGUAUUUUUGGAAGAAAAAANNNNNNNNNNNNNNNNNNNNNNNNNNNNNNNNNNNNNNNNNNNNNNNNNNNNNNNNNNNNNNNNNNNNNNNNNNNNNNNNNNNNNNNNNNNNNNNNNNNNNNNNNNNNNNNNNNNNNNNNNNNNNNNNNNNNNNNNNNNNNNNNNNNNNNNNNNNNNNNNNNNNNNNNNNNNNNNNNNNNNNNNNNNNNNNNNNNNNNNNNNNNNNNNNNNNNNNNNNNNNNNNNNNNNNNNNNNNNNNNNNNNNNNNNNNNNNNNNNNNNNNNNNNNNNNNNNNNNNNNNNNNNNNNNNNNNNNNNNNNNNNNNNNNNNNNNNNNNNNNNNNNNNNNNNNNNNNNNNNNNNNNNNNNNNNNNNNNNNNNNNNNNNNNNNNNNNNNNNNNNNNNNNNNNNNNNNNNNNNNNNNNNNNNNNNNNNNNNNNNNNNNNNNNNNNNNNNNNNNNNNNNNNNNNNNNNNNNNNNNNNNNNNNNNNNNNNNNNNNNNNNNNNNNNNNNNNNNNNNNNNNNNNNNNNNNNNNNNNNNNNNNNNNNNNNNNNNNNNNNNNNNNNNNNNNNNNNNNNNNNNNNNNNNNNNNNNNNNNNNNNNNNNNNNNNNNNNNNNNNNNNNNNNNNNNNNNNNNNNNNNNNNNNNNNNNNNNNNNNNNNNNNNNNNNNNNNNNNNNNNNNNNNNNNNNNNNNNNNNNNNNNNNNNNNNNNNNNNNNNNNNNNNNNNNNNNNNNNNNNNNNNNNNNNNNNNNNNNNNNNNNNNNNNNNNNNNNNNNNNNNNNNNNNNNNNNNNNNNNNNNNNNNNNNNNNNNNNNNNNNNNNNNNNNNNNNNNNNNNNNNNNNNNNNNNNNNNNNNNNNNNNNNNNNNNNNNNNNNNNNNNNNNNNNNNNNNNNNNNNNNNNNNNNNNNNNNNNNNNNNNNNNNNNNNNNNNNNNNNNNNNNNNNNNNNNNNNNNNNNNNNNNNNNNNNNNNNNNNNNNNNNNNNNNNNNNNNNNNNNNNNNNNNNNNNNNNNNNNNNNNNNNNNNNNNNNNNNNNNNNNNNNNNNNNNNNNNNNNNNNNNNNNNNNNNNNNNNNNNNNNNNNNNNNNNNNNNNNNNNNNNNNNNNNNNNNNNNNNNNNNNNNNNNNNNNNNNNNNNNNNNNNNNNNNNNNNNNNNNNNNNNNNNNNNNNNNNNNNNNNNNNNNNNNNNNNNNNNNNNNNNNNNNNNNNNNNNNNNNNNNNNNNNNNNNNNNNNNNNNNNNNNNNNNNNNNNNNNNNNNNNNNNNNNNNNNNNNNNNNNNNNNNNNNNNNNNNNNNNNNNNNNNNNNNNNNNNNNNNNNNNNNNNNNNNNNNNNNNNNNNNNNNNNNNNNNNNNNNNNNNNNNNNNNNNNNNNNNNNNNNNNNNNNNNNNNNNNNNNNNNNNNNNNNNNNNNNNNNNNNNNNNNNNNNNNNNNNNNNNNNNNNNNNNNNNNNNNNNNNNNNNNNNNNNNNNNNCUAUUUUUAGGUACAUAAUAUAACAUUAACAUAUAAUUUUUACAAAAGAAUGAAGUAACAUUUUGUAAAAAAAAAAAAAAAAAUGAAGUAACAUACCAAUAAUAUAACAUUGACAUAUAAUUUUAACAAAAGAAUGAAGUAACACACGAUUGAUAAAAAUUAAUAUUUUUAAGGUGAAUAAGUGUGGUGUCUGAGGUUCGAAUUCCAACAUCUGCAUAUAUUUGGGACCACAUAUUUUAUUCUCUUUGAUAUGCAUUGAGAUUUGUUUUUGUCUACUUCAUCUACAGUGUAUAUGACCCGUGUGGUAGCACGGGUGGAAAGUCUAGUAUAUUAAAAUGUAGCCCGUGGAAAAACGUUAAUUAGGAGUACUCAAGCUAUUGUGGAAAGAUGACAACAAGAGUGAAUUGAUAAAAAGCAUGAGGAGUUUUCGCAACCAUCUACACAUCAUACCAGAUGUGUCACAGUCAGCGAAGGAGAAGAAAGGAGAUGGAGAACAUAGUGCAUCAAUAGCAGAUGAGUCACAAUCAGAGACAAUACCCACUCAUCUUCUUGAUCUUCAACGGAAACUCAUCCUCACUACAUCUUAUUCCAAGGUACAAUAGAAUUAACAAUAAAAAGUACUAAAAUAAAUAGAAAUAAAGAAAGAAAUUAGAGACAAAAAUAUUUGGUUACAAAUUUAAGGACAAAAUUAGAAACGGAGUUUGCCUUUUUCUGUUUCUAAAUAUUAUUUCCUUUGCAAAGGAAGUAUAAUUUUGAAUUUUUUUUAGGGUUAAAUAAGUAAAUGGUCCUCCUAAAUAUAUCAACAUUUAACUUUAGCUCCCUUAAAAUAUUCUUUAGACUUUUGGUUCUUCAAAAAAUUUUCAUUUAUGAAAUUAGUCUCUGCUCUACAUUGAGUAUUACAUUAGAACGGGCACUAAUUUCAUAUAGAUUAAAAAUUUUAGAGGGAUCAAAAGCGUAAGGAAUAUUUUAAGGGGGCUAAUAUCAAAUGUUAGUAUAUUUAGGGAGACUAUUUACUUAUUUAACUCCUUCUAUUAUCAUAAGUAAAUGAUCCAAUCCAUUUUUUAUUAAAACAUAGACUAAAAUCGUUGAAGCUACCGAAAUGAUGAAAUGGAGUCUUAAUAUUCUUAAAAGAAUGAAGAUAUGGAGUGGGAAGCUUAAUGAUAAAAUAAAGAAAUGUAUUGGGAAGAAUUCAAAGACAAAUAUCCAAAUGUUGACAUACAGGAACAUACAAGAUCUAAAAGCAGUAGGAAUAAGACUUAAGUCAAGCAUGACACAAAGGCUAAGAGACAUAGAUUUCUGCGGAGGAUGGUUCUCUGCAGAACUGACUCUUCCUAUGAUCAUUGUGUCCAACAGUUCAGCCCAUACGUUCCGCAACCUGAUAGCAUAUGAGAUGUGUCCAGAUUUUGAGAACGAUUAUGGAAUUUGUUCUUUUGUAACUUUCAUGGACUCGCUCAUCGACCAUCCUGAAGACGUGAAGGAAUUGAGAUCAAAAGGGAUUUUGGCCAAAUGCCUUGGCAGUGAUGAGGAUGUUGCCAAUCUUUUCAAUAUCAUAUGUACUGACUUGGUAGCUGACCCGGAAAUAUACUUUGAAGUUAGAUUGAAAAUACAUGAUCAUUACUGUAAUAAAUACAAUACUUGGAUAGCGCAGGGUUUUCAUACUUACUUCAGCAGUCCUUGGGCCAUUAUUGCAUUCACUGCUGCGGUUAUCGCCCUUGUUCUUACUUUCAUUCAGACAUGGUUUACAAUUCAACCGGCUAGCAAAUAAAUGUGAUUCGUUAUGACAAUGUUGUUUUCGUUAUGGAACACAUCACUUCUCUGUGGAUUUUUAAUAGGUUGAGUUUUUUUAUUGAAUAAAUUUUAGGUUAUGUUUUCGUCUACGUCUUGACUAUGAGUACGUAUUUCAAAAAUAAAGAUUGCCAUUUUCUUUGUGUUGUGUGUUUGAAUUGUAACAUGAAUAAAUUAAUAUUCUCAUUGAUGAUCUACGUGUUACUAUAUAUUGGUGCCAUUAUGUUGAUUUUGAUUAGAUGAGUUUUUAAUUUUGUAUUCAUAGACAUCGAAAUAAGUGAAUAGACCAAAUGAGUUAAUAAGACAAGUAUAUAUUAUAGGAAAAUUUGUCAUCUUAGUCCCUGAAUUUGUAAGGAUUUGUCAGAAUAAUCUUUGAAUGCAAAGAAAUUGCAAAACAAUACUUGAAUGUAAACUCUGUUAGUCAAUUUAGUCUCUGGCGUUAAAUAAGUAUGUUAACGAUGACAUGGCCUCUGAUGUGGCAAGAUGGCAACUGAUAGAAAAUUAACAAGUGUACUUAUUUAAAUCGAGUGAUAAAAUAAUUCGUUUCGACAAGGACCAUAUUAAUCUCUACAUAGCGAGAACAUUAACAUCAAGAUAUAUCUAAAUGGGGGUUGCCUUAGGCAAAUUGUUUGAGUGCAAUUGUAAUUAAACGAAAAACUGGAAUUCAAGUUGGUUUAGAAAUAAUAUGGAGAAAUGACUAGGUCAUUCGAUUCAUUUGUUCAUCACUCGUUAGCAAUCUGUUUCUUAAGUUUACGAACGCUGUAAAUUUUACGACAAAUUAACAAAAUAGCUUAGGUCAAUCCCGUGAUCGAAAGCUCUCUUUUUUGGCUAUAAGUCCCUAAUCACUUGGUGAACCUAUAAUAGUAAAAGGUUUGAAGUCCGUUAAUUUAAGUAUCACAACCUAACAACUCUCUAUCCCUAGAUUGUAUGUUAGAUUUGAACAAUAUAAAUAUGUCAGAGUUACACGUUAGUGUCAAUAGUCAUAUACACUCUAGAAUCAGUUAUGUUGAGUCAGAAUCAUAAAAGCAUUAAGAAUAAUUUAUACUGAAUAAACUAGAAUGACAAUCUUAAAAAUUAAGAGUUACAAGUUACAUUGUACUAAGCUAGAACAGAAUCAUCUCUUGACCUAAUCACAAAGGAUUUAGCUACUCGUGGCUAAAGCACGAAUAACUAAUGUAAAGGAAAUAUUCAUUACAUGAAUUUGACAACCGGCUAUGAGUUUUGAUGGCCUCCCACCUUCUUCUCAGAUCUCCAGCUCCAAAAAACAGUUUCUGUAACACCCCGUUUUCCCAACAUAUAAAUAAUAUAAAAUAAAUCAGAGUUCAUCGCAAAUAGGAUGUCACAUUUCGUUCUUCAAAAUAUCUUUUAACACAAAUAGAGUUAAAUUCACUAUUUAUUUAAACAACUGCUUUCAAUAAUUCAAAAUAAUGUCGUAGCGAAAAUAUUUAAUCUUUAAGCAUUACUUGGCACUAAGGCCUCAACAUCAACAACAUAAAUAAAAUCCACCUAAAAGUGGUCCAACAUCAAAUUAUAAGAAGAUAUGUAACAAUGGAAAAUAAAACACAUAAGAAUCCUCAUGCCGUUACGUAUCAGAGCAUGACUUCUAUGACGAAACGAGAAUUCAACUCACAUCAGCUGUUACUUCUGAAUAUCUGCAUGUUACCCACGUAGAGGUGACAUUCAAACAGAAGGGGUGAGAUUUCACAUUUGAUAAUAAUAAGCAAUAAUUCAUGUAAAAGAAUUUAACAACACAAAACAGCAGCAAUUCAUCAUUAACAAUGCUUCACAUAAGUCGAACUACAAAUCAUCAAUUAACUUCACUCAACAGUACAACGACACGACUUAACAAAUGCAAUGCAAUGCAAUUAUGCAUGUGGUACCAACAGAGCUACAACUCCCUUCGCUAAUGCCGUGAUUCGGCUUUGACAGGCUACAACCUCCUUUGCUUAAUAAAUCACCAAUACAGGCCAUCGUGGUGCCAAUCCAGGCCAUCAUAAUUAAAAUGAAAUGAUUAUGUAAUGACACAAUUAAAAUGCAACAACAGCAACAUCUACUUCGCAUCACAAUUUCACUAUUAAUCAAUAUUAUUCUUCGCAAAUAAACAAUAAUUUCAUUCAAACAAUUAUAAUUACGAAACUCAAGCAUGCAUACCUUAAUUGAACCCCUUAAUACUCAAGUUUGAAGUUUAGAAACCAAACCAUAGGUAUUGGAAUGACUUGGAAAUAAUUAUGCUAAGAUUCUUUAAAAUUUCCCCAAGACCUACUUGAAGUGUUUUCAUCAUAACUCAAAAUCCACAAAACAUUUUCAUGUCAAACCAACGCCAUUGGAAAGAUAACAUAAUUAUUUGAAACCUUCAUGUUUACACCAAAGGCCAAUUCAAAUCAGAAUAAGGGUGAAAAAGCACGAAAAAUCAAAAACCGAAGUCCUGACAGCACGCAAACGAUGCCACAACAAAACAGUCACCCAUGAGGGCUGUCUUUCUGCGCCUAGGCGCUGGCAAGCUGCACCCAGGCGUGGGCAGGCAGUAGCCAGUGACCUGCGGUGCAGCUCUGUGCAGUCCUGGUUUUUUCCCGGUUUUACCAUUUCGCACGUAAAAACUCAACAGUUAACCCGAUUCCAAUUCUGUUUUCGCCUACGCAUUCUAUUCAAUAAAUCCUAUCAUAUUUUACUGAUAAAUCAUAUUUUCAAAUCUUCAAAACAGCUUAUCCCAGAAUCACUUAUUUCCCAAAAACACUUAAAAUCACUUUUAUUCAAAAUAUCAAUUUUUGACCCCAUUCGAUCCCAAUUUGAUAGGAAACAUUACCUAGGGUUACUCUACAACCUAAACAUCAACUUUCACAUUAAUUCAUUGGAUUACUUACACUUUCAAGAAUCAAAUUGCAAUUCAAAACCCUAACUUCUUAAACAUCACAAUUAUCAACAACAUCAAAGUUAGCCCCUUUUUCAGAAUUAUAUAACUCAUAUUAAAGAAGGUUAGUCCCACCCUUACCUUAGACUAGAUGAACUUUGAAUUCUUUAAGCUUUCCCUUGCCCUCUCACAAUGCUCUUCUCUUCUCUGACUUCUCACUUUCACGUUUCCACCAAAAACUGUUUUACAUGUCUGACUCUUCUUUUCCUAACCUCUCCUUAUUCCUAACCUAACACAUUCCCUCUUAUUCCAAUUUUGCCCUUACUGCCUCAUUAUUCUAUUUUAAUUUUAUUCCUUCACUAAUAAUACUAUAAUAAGCUACUAACAUUCACUAACACAUAACACAAAACAUCGCGCAUCACCAUUAUUCACAUAAAUUAUUCAAAAUGACACUAAACUCGAUAAAAUAACUAAAUAAUAAAUUAGGGUGUUACAACUCUCCCCAACUUAGAAUAUUUUCGUCCUCGAAAAUGUACCUCAUUCAAAUAACUUUGGAUACGACUCCAGCAUCUUGCUCUCCAACUCCCACGUCAAACUUUCACCAGCCACUUCUCCCCAAACAACUUUCACAAGAGGCAUCUCCUUGCCUCUCAGCUUCUUCACUUCACGACCUUCAAUCCUCCCUAGUAAGGUCUCGAUCGUAAGAUUGUCUCUCACUUGCACAUCAUCUCUUGGAAUCACAUGAGAUGGAUAUGAAACAUACUUUUGUAGUUGUGACACAUGAAACACAUCAUGUAAGUUCGAAAGAUGCGGUGGUAAACCCACGUUAUACGCAACCGCCCCAACUCUUUGCGAAAUCUGAUACGGGCCAAUAAACCUCGGAGUUAGUUUCUUUGAUUUUAGUGCCCGUCCAACACCGGUAAGAGGGGUGACUCUCAAAAACACAUGGUCUCCUUGAAACUCAAGAUCCUUCCUACGCUUAUCAUGAUAACUCUUUUGUCUACUCUGUGACGCUUUCAUCUUUUCUCUAAUCAACUUAACAUUUUCAUUAGUCUGUUGAACAAUGUCUGGUCCCAGUACCACACUCUCACCGGACUCAUCACAACACAACGGAGUUCUGCAUCUCCGACCAUACAACGCUUCGAACGGUGCCAUUCCAAUGCUAGAAUGGUAACUAUUAUUGUAAGUGAACUCGAUUAAUGGAAGAUGACUAUCCCAAGAUCCCCCUUGCUCAAGUACACAAACUCUCAACAAGUCCUCCAACGACUGAAUUGUCCUCUCCGUCUAUCCAUCUGUCUGCGGAUGAUACGCCUAACUCAAACUCAACUUAGAACCCAACGCCUCCUACAAACUCUUCCAAAAUCUAGAAGUAAAUCUUGGAUCCCUAUCUAAUACAAUACUCGAUGGAACACCAUGUAACUUCACAAUCUCACGGAUAUAAAUCUUUUCCAACUGAGAUACAGGAAAAUUGAUGUUAAUCGGAAUAAAAUGAGCCGACUUCGUCAGUCUAUCCACAAUUACCCAAAUCGCAUCAUGUCCUUUUGGAGUAUUCGGCAAACUCGUCACAAAAUCCAUGGAUAUACUAUCCCACGUCCACUCUGGAACAUCUAAAGGUGUCAACAACCCAACAGGUUUCUGAUGUUCAACUUUCGACUUUUGACAAAUUAAACACGCAUACACAAAUUGUGCCACAUCUCGCUUCAACCCGGACCACCAAAACAACUUCUUCAAAUCAUGAUAUAUUUUUGUAGCUCCCGGAUGAAUACUCAAAUUAUUUCUGUGACCUCCCUUCGGAACCAAAUGAGGUACUUCAAAGUAACCUCCCUGUUGAAAUUUCGUCUAAAACGACGAAGACUCUCGGCUUUAAAAAAUACGAAUAAAAUGGGUAAAAACAGAUAAAAGUGAUCAAAAUUUGGGGUAUGACAGGCAGCAUCUAGACGCUCAUUUAUGCAACUUUUGUGGCUCUUAUGUGUGUGGGUGUUAUGGACUGAACGUAAUAAUAGACAGUUUAAUAACACCAAAAUUUCUAUUCAUCAGAUAUUCGAAAAGGUUCAAAUUCAUUCUUAUUGGUGGAUGAAUGCAGCAAAUGCAACUUUUGUAUUAGGGGUUCAUAACUGACUAGCUUGCCCUAUUCUUUGUUUGGGUAUAGGUUAGCUGACCCUUUUCUUUUUUCUUUCAUUUUGACCGAACACUUUGUGUAAUAAUGGUCGCUCUCUUUUAGCACAUCUUGUGCGGAAGUAGCGACAUUUGAUUGUUAAUAUAAGUCUCAUUCUUGCUUGUUAAAAAAAAAUUAACAAUUAUUUCUCAGUUUUUAUCAUCAACAUCAUUUCUUACAUUACCCCUAAAAAAAUCAUUUCUUACAUUAAUUUUAUCUUAUUUUUCAAUUCAAAUAACAUUGCAAAUGCAAUUUUUUACGCAUAACACUCGCUUGGAUGCAUAACCCUGUGCAGAGCAUGGACCCGUUAGGACUUAAAAGCCAAGCAAGAAAUAAAAGGAGAAGCCGCAUGGUGCACAUAGUUAAAUUCUAGAACAGUAAAAGCAAUGAUCCUAUUUCCAUGAAUUUUACUUUUCUUGUCCAUUGAGCAAAGUGAUGGAGAUAUAGUUAAAUUCUAGAUUAGUGAUGUCCAGUUCGUUACGAGGACAAGUUACUUUUUUUAGUAGUGAAGAUUAGUGAUAAAACUAGAUUAAAGUGAAGGUGUAAGAUUUUUUUUAAGCAAGCAUAUUUACUUAUCUUGUUCAUUAGGUAAAGGUUUGAGAGAAAAAAAAUCCAAAGCAGUACAGUGAGCCCAUAUUAUAUAAUAUUAUAUAAUACACGUUUUGAUUUAAAUUCCUCAACCAUUAUUAUAUUGAAAGAAUGAUGGCAUCCCAAACUACCCUUGAAAAAAAAAUUGUGGAGCUAGAAAAUUCAAAGCAAAUACCCCAAAGUUCACGACCAAAGAUACAAAGGGUGCCACACAAUCUCAGAAACAGAAAAAACUUUGAGAAGUAUUACUCACCCAAGUUCCUGUCAAUAGGUCCUAUCCAUCAUGGCAAUACAGAUCUGAAGUUAGGAGGGAAGUACAAGCUUAUGUGGGCAGCAAAAUACAUUGAAAAUACAAGACUCAAUCCACGGGAUCUACACAAAAAGAUUUUUGAUAACAUCGAUGAACUGAAGGGUCAUUUUGACGAUGAUGUAAUUUUAACUUUAACCGGCAAGUCUCUUGAAGGCUUUGGAAGCCUUGAAGAAAAGCUGUCGUGGAUAUUGUUCGUGGAUGGAUGCUCUUUGCUUUAUAUCUUGGAUGGAUGUUGUACGUGGAUGGAUGACCCAGAGCCUAUGGAUAUUAAGGUUGAUCAACUGGUUCUUGUGAUGAUGGAUGUGCUUUUGUUGGAGAAUCAACUACCUUAUCAAGUACUCAAGCUAUUGUGGAAAGAUGAAGACAAGAGUGGAUUGAUAGAAAGCAUCAUGAAUUUCUUCAAAUAUAUUUUGGCAAGACCAGGUGAGUCGCAGUCAGAGAAGGAGAUACACGUGGUUCUAAACGGAGGAGAACAUAUUGUAUCAAUACUAAAUGAGUCACAGCUGGAGACACCCACUCAUCUUCUUGAUCUUCUGCGUAAAAUCACCCUCAUUGGAUCUAAACCCAAGGUACAAUAAAAUCUACUAACAAUAUCAAAAUUUUAUAAUUGUCCUUUUUUAAUGCCAUGAUCUUCUUAAUUUUAUGUGAUUAGUUAUCAUAUUUAACGUUGUUUCGCAUAUAAAAUAGAAUAUAUAUUUAAUAGAAACACUACAUCUACUACUAAUUAUAAUAUAAUAAUAUAAUAAAAUCGUACUCAGGCAAAAUUUCAUAAUUAUCAUUUUUUUAAAUCUUGAUCUUAUUAAUUUAUGUGCCUAAUGGUAAUCAUAAUUAUUAACUUCUAAGUUUAACUAAUUCCCCUAUAUAUCAUCAGAAUUACUGACAAUUUUGUUUCCAAUUUCACACAAGUCUAGCUAAUUCCAUAUAUUCUCUUUCAAAAAAAAAAAAAAAACUAAUUCCAUAUAUUUGUUAAUUUAGUUUUAUUUUUUUUGUCUUAUCAUUUUUAAACCAAGCCUAAAAUUAGUUCCCUAUAUUUUGCAAAUAAAAAAAACUCAAUUUAUUUCUUCUUUAUUCUCUUUCUUAUCUUAUUCCAUUUAUCUAUUGCUACUAUAAGAAAAUCAUACUCUAGCAAAAAAUUUAUAGUUAUCCUCGGUUAAACUAAUUUCCUAUAAGCAAUGUAUUAUGACAUAAAUAUAGAAAAACAACUUAUUCUCGUUUUUUUAAUCUCUUAAUCUGACUAAUUUUUCUAUAACUUUUUUUAAUAUAAACGCUAUACUAAUGUUGAUAUUCUUAAAUAAUCGUUAUUUUUCAAAAUCUCAAAAAAGAAAAACAAAAAUAUUACAUCGGAUACUAAUAGAAACACAUGAAAUUUGAUUUUGGGGAUAUAAACACAUAAAAUCUGCAACGAGUGCGGUGCAAAUAUUUAAUGGUGUUUUGUAUAUAAAAUAAAAAAUAUUUAAUAGAAACACUAUAUUUAUGUUGAUAUUUUAAAAAUAGUCACGAGUUUUUAAAAGUUUAUCAUAUCGACUAUCACAUAACGGUACACAAAAAAUUUCUUCUGCAUAUAUAAACAUAUAAAAUCCUCAAUGAGUGGGGUGUAAAUAUUUAAUGGUGUUUUAAAUAUAUUCAUGGGUUUCCAAAAUUUUAUCAUAUCAACUUUCCAAAAUAUAUAAAAUCCUGCAUACAUUAAUGUUGAUAUUUUAAAAAUAUUCAUGGGUUUCCAAAAAUUUAUCAUAUCAACUUUCUCAUUUAGGUAUAUAAAAAUCUGUUUAUGCAUAUACAAACACAAAAAUCUACAACGAAAGCGCCGCCAAUAUUGAAUGGUGAUCUGCAUAUAAAAUAAAAAGUUACUUAAAAGAUGCACUACAUUAAGGUUUAUAUUUUGAAAAUAGUCAUGAGUUUUCAAAAUUUUAUCAUAUAGACUUUCUAAUGUAUCUAAAUAAAAAUUUGUUUAUUCAUAUAUAAGCACAUAAAAUCUGCAACGGGUGCGAUGCAAACAUUGAAUGAUGUUUUGCAUAGAAAAUAAAAGUUAUUUAAUAGAAAUACUACAUUAAUUUUAAUAUUUUGAAAAUAGUCAUGAAUUUUCAAAAUUUAAUCAUAUCGACUACAUAAGCAUUUAUUUUUGCAUAUAUAAGCAAAUAAAAUGCAUAUUUAUUUUGAAAAUAGUAAUGAGUUUUCAAAAUAUUAAUUUAAGUAUAAUUAUGAUUUUUUUUAUUAUCAUAAGCAAAGAUGAUCCAAUCCAUUUUUGAUUAAAACAUAGACUAAAAGCAAUGAAGCUAUUACUUCUAAGGAAGCAUCAGAGGAGACAGGUCCACAAAAAUUGAUUAAGAAGCUUCUUCAAAAAAUAAAGAAAUGGAGUCAGAAGAAGAAAGAGUUCAAGCUGAUUACGUAUAGGAACAUACAAGAUCUAAAAGCAGUAGGAAUAAGAGUUAAGUCAAGCAAGACACGAUGGCUGAGAGACUUAGAUUUCUCCGCAGGAUGGUUCGCUGCGAAACUGACUCUUCCUGAGAUCGUUGUGGACGACACAUCAGCCACUAUUUUCCUCAAUAAGAUAGCAUAUGAGAUGUGUCCAGAUUUUAAGAAUGACUACGGGAUUUGUUCUUUUGCAGCUUUCAUCGAGUCACUUAUCGACCAUCCUGAAGAUGUGAGGGAAUUGAGAUCAAAAGGGAUUUUGCUCAAUUGCUUUGGGAGUGAUGAGGAAGUUGCCAAUAUUUUCAAUAUCAUAACCACUGAUGUGAUGACUAACAUAAACACAUAUCAUGAGCUUAGACGCAAAAUAAAUGAGCAUUACUGUAAUAAAUACAAGACUUGGAUAGCACAGGGUUUUCACACUUACUUCAGCAGUCCUUGGGCCAUUACUGCAUUCCUUGCUGCGUUUAUCGCCAUUGUUCUUACUUUCAUUCAGACAUGGUUUACGAUUCACCCGGCUUGCUAAUAAAGGUGGCUCGUUAUGACAAUGUUGUUUUCGUUAUGGCACUCAUCACUUCUCUAUGGAUUUUUAAUCGGUUGAGUUUUUCUUAAUGAAUAAAUUUUGGGUUAAGUUUGCUUGUACAUCAUCAUGACUAUGAGUAUUUCAAAAAUAAAGAGUGCCUUUUUUCCUGUAUUGUGUGUUUGAAUUGAAACAUGAAUAAAUUAAUAUUCUCAUUGAUGAUCUAUGUGUACUAUAUUGGUGCGAUUAUGUUGAUUUUAUUUAGAUGAGUUAUUUAAUAUUGUGUUCAUACGAAAGCCUAUUAAUGCUUAAUUAGACAAGUAUAUAUGAUGAGGACUGUUAUAUAGUACGAGUGUUUUCCAUACGAAUUUUUACCGAAGUCUAUUAAUGCUUACUUUCCAUGCGCUCAAUAGUGCACGUAGAAAAAAACAUUAGAACUGCAACGAAAAGUUUAAUGAUCAGGCCACGCCAAUUGAAAGCAAAAUCUGAGAAUUAUAAUCUAUAUAGCAUCCACUUCAUUUGUGACAAUAUCAAUGAAUCAUAGAUUGUGGCUAGGUUGUUGUUACUAGGUUGAAAUAAAAUUCUACAUUAAGGUUCUUACUCUUUAGCAAUUCUUACUUUCGUACUUCUUCGAGGUUCUAUAACAUCUCGUACAAUGUACUCAUAACUAUUUCUGAUUAUUGAAAUGUGAUCAGAUAUUGUGCCCCCACUAAUUCUUAAUUUUUAAAAGGGAAUUAUUUUUCCCCCACUAAUGUCGUGCUCCCGCUAGUCUCCAAUAGUGCCUCCACUAUUCUUUAUUUAAGGGGUAAAUAUUUACAUAGAAAUCGACAUCUUUUAAUUAUAUGAUCACUUUAGCAUUUAGGUCAUAAAAUCUAUAUGAUUCACUAUUUAUAACAUACUCAAUGAAUACACAUUCAUAGGCUCUACUAGUGAGUUCAACUCUCUUGAGGUUCAAAAUCCAAAUAUAACCUAGACAAUCCUAAGUACAAAAAAUAAGACAUGUUGAUUUGUGUUUUCUUUAAAAAUUUCUUAAUUAGAAUUUUUGUUCUUAGACUUGGGUACUCUAUCCAACAUAAAUUUCAAUUUUCGUUAUGAAAAUUAAACAUAUCAAGCAUAUCAAUUUUUUUUCUUUUCAAAAUUCACUGAUAUGAUAAAAUAUUAUUCUAUCAUUUCUAGUUUAUGUGCUAUCAAGUUCGCUUAUAUCAUGAUUUAUUAAGUUUAGAGAUUCAAAUUCUCUAAACACUGAUUUAUAUGAACUUCUGGUUCAAAUAUCUUGAUUGCAAAAAACAAAAUUGUCUAAUCAUAUAAUUUUGGAAUUAAGUCUAAGUUACUCAUGUUUAAAAUUAAACGCUUUUUCAUAUUAUAAAUUUUGACAAGUCAAAUAUUAAAAUCACACAACUAAUAAUUGUUUGCCUGUGUUUUUGGCAAACUACAUGCUAGUUCUGAUUAUUACAAGCGAGACCAAACUAGAGAUCUCAUGAGCAUGUUGUGCAAGCUUGCCCCACGUUUCCACUAAGGAAACCGUUUCCAAGCUUGAAAUCAUGCUUUCCCGCCUUCAUUGUUUGACUUUGACGCGAUCUCUCUUCAGCCUUGCUUUGUCGAAACUCUGAUUAUGCGCUUUAGGAUUGAUUUCUCGUCGAAAUUCUUUAAUAGAAAUGAGAAAGUCUUUGAUUCCUGCAAAGUAAAAGAUCAACCAAAUAUUGAGCAUAUUAAAUGAGCAUGUUGAAUUUACAGACUAACAAUAAUAUAGAAGGAGAAUUUAAUUUUGACCAUAUCAUCAAAAACGUAGUCUUAAUUUUAUACGAAACAUUUGGAACAAAAUUCUCCUAUAAUUUCUAGUUCAAAUUUUAUACAUAUAACAGGGACUAUUUAUAUGGUAAAUUACCCUCCUGUUACACGAUACAUUCCAACUGUUCAGAAGCUUUAGACAAUUUGUUUCUUAUUAUGAGAAUUAUAUAAAACUAAGCAUAAGCAUUUCAUCACAUAAGUAAGUGACUUUAAGUUUCAUCCGAAAAACAUUAGUUCAUCAAAUAACAACAUCACAUUAUUUCUUUUCCGAUCCAAGUUUUUUUUUUUUUUUUUUUAACAAACUAGUUACAAACCCGUGCUUCGCACGGGUUGAAUAACGUAUUUUUUAAAAAUUUAGCUCCAAAGGAGAAAUCUUAUAAAUUACGAAAAAUUGUUGUUCUUUAUAAAUGUGAAAAUCAAAGCUGCAUAAACCAAAAUUUUGCAACACAGAUCCUAAAACACUACAUAAAAAAUAACAUAACAACUAUUGUAAUCUCUUAUUCCUUAAAGUUAACCCGAACGCAAAAUUUUGCCCUGGAUUUAACCUAACUUCUUUUCUUAAUUUUAUUGUAUUAACCCUAUUUAAUUUAAUCAAAAUGUUAACGUUAAUUGUUAGGGAAAUCAAAAUAAACAAAUAGCUCCUGAUUUUUCUCCUUAAUUUUACCAAACAAAUUUCAUUAACCCUAGAUUUAAUUUAUGUAAAAUGUCAUCUCUUAUCUCUUAUCUCUUAUCUUCUUAUAUAUUAAAGUUAACCCGUAAGCCCUAAUUUUAACCUAAACCCUAUUGCAUAAUUUUACUGUUUUAACCCUAAUGGUCACACCUAAUCUCCUAUUUUUAUGAACAACCCUAACAAACAGUUAAAGGGUAUCAUUUACGGUAAAUGCCAAAUAUUCGAUAAAAGGAAAAUUAUUGAAAUAAAACAUUUUACAUGUUGAGGUUAAGAAUGAGCUAUUUUUAGGUACAUAAUAUAACAUUAACAUAUAAUUUUUACAAAAGAAUGAAGUAACAUUUUGUCAAAAAAAAAAAAAAAAAAAGAUAAAGUAACAUACCAAUAAUAUAACAUUGACAUAUAAUUUUAACAAAAGAAUGAAGUAACACACGAUUGAUAAAAAUUAAUAUUUUUAAGGUGAAUAAGUGUGGUGUCUGAGGUUCGAAUUCCAACAUCUGCAUAUAUUUGGGACCACAUAUUUUAUUCUCUUUGAUAUGCAUUGAGAUUUGUUUUUGUCUACUACAUCUACAAUGUAUAUGACCUGUGCGGCAGCACGGGUGGAAAGUCUAGUAUUUAUAAACGUUAACCCGUGACGCAAUAUUAACCCUAGAUUUAACCUAAUUUUUUCGUGUGACUUUACUAUAUUAACCCUAGAUUUAAUUUAUGCAAAAUGUCAUCUCUUAUUUCUAAAUGUUAAUCCGUGACGCAAUAUUAACCCUAGAUUUAACCUAUUUUUUCGUGUGACUUUACUAUAUUAACCCUAGAUUUAAUUUAUGCAAAAAUGUUAUCUCUAAUUUUAACCUAAUUUUUCCCUCCACACUUUUGCAGCGUGAGUUGAAAAGAGGUGUUUGUGAAAUAAAUUGUCGAGAAGUAAUUUUUUAAAGUAACAUUCAACAGCUUCUGGUCAAAAGCUCAUUCCAUUCAAUUUUAUGCGUUCAAAAAAUGUUCUUUUUUUAGUAAGUACUUAAUUGAUAUUGUGUUUGGCCUAACUUCUCCUUAAAAAUGUUGAAGCAACUGAAUUUGGGAGAAAAAAUUUAAAAAUAGUUAAAAAUAUAAAAAUUGAAAAAUUAUUAAAAAUAUAAAAAUUAGAAAAUAAUUAAAAAAAUUGGUUAGGGGCAAAAAUGGAAAUUCAUAGGCCAACCUUAAAAAAAACUCAACAAAUUUGUAAUUUACCAAAUUAUCCUUUAUAGGGGCAAAAUAGUAAAUUCAAGGGACAUUUCUUUUAAUAUAAGUAUAUAGACUUGUCAAUUUAUCAAUAUCAAUGAUAAUCAGGUAUAAUUGGAGUUUUUAUUCACAAUAAAUUUAAAACAGAUCUAGAGUUGUGUGUAUGAAUUUUUUAGUGUUGUUGUUAUAACAACAAGCACUUCAUUGUUUGAGUCGAGAGUAUGAAAUCCUUCUUGUAUUUAAGGACAACAGAAUCUCAAUAAGUAAUUUCUUCGGUAGACAUAGCAGUCGAAACGUCUUAAAAUUGUUGUUUUUGGAUUUCCAAACAAUUUUAUUUGGAUUUCCAAAUUCUAUUUUGAAAUAGAAUAUCUGCUGAAGUUGUUACUAGGUUGAGUCACGACUAGGACCCUCUCUUUAAGAAGUUUAGUGGCACUGCCCAAAGUUGUGCAAGGCAGACAAUCAACAACUUCGCAUCCAGAAUAAAACAAGCUCACCUACAACUGUGCGGUUAACUACUGCAGUGUAGAAAAUCGUUCGAGAUUUAAACCUCCAAUAUGGGACAAAGACCAUUCUUUUAAUAAUGAAACCACUUUAAUAUGGUAUUAUUACCACUUUAAUAUGGUGUUGAGAUAACUCAAAUAUGGUGUUACCACCAUUAUAACUUUAAUUUUUCCAAAAUAUCAAUAUGACACUACGACCACUCAAAUAUGGUGAUACCACCAUUUUGACUUUUUAAUUUCUACUCAAAUAGAAAAAUAUUUAUAUAGUAUUAAGAUCAUUCUUAAUUCCGACGGAACAUUAUUAUUUCAAAAGGGACCAUGAUCUUAAAAGUACUCUUUAUUCCGAAGGGACAUACUUUUGAAGGGAUUAUGUUUUAAGAUCUUUCUUAAUUCCAAAUGGACAUUAUACUGAAUAGGGACUAAGGUCUUAUGAAAACUCUUAAUUCCGAAGGGAAAGAAAAAUGAGACGAGGAGAAGAAUAGCUCGCCAACACAAGCUGGAGGGAGAAGAGAGAAAAAGUUCUCAGCAACUCAAUAGAAACUCUUUGGUAUGAUUUUUGAACUGAGUGGAGUACUCUAUUUAUAUAGAGAUUUUGUAACUGUUUUAGCAAAAAUUGCGGCAACAGUUAAUCUAAUAGAUAAUAUCAAAAGGGAACUUAUCCAUUAAUCAGUUCAACAACACUUGUGGAUAAGAUAAAAAAGAAACAAAUCCAUAAAAGUGAAGGGAACUAACUCAUUGGAUUUGAAGGAAUGAAAUAUAAGAAAUUCAAUUAAAUUCUUAUUCUUAUUCUUAUCACAACCACCAUAAGGUAAAUUAUGGGAAGUGAUAUUCACGAAUAAAAAUAAUAAUUACUAUUAUUUUUAUCAUUAUCAAGUAUAUAAAAUUAAAUACCGCAAUUUAAACAGUACUAAUGUGUGUGCUCUAUUUUAUGUGGGAUCCCACAUUCUAUUUUUUCAAUUCACACAACGUUAGAUCAAAGUAUAAUUACUUGGUGUUUAUUCUUCCAAUUUUUCUUCCAACAUCACACCAAUGUUCCAACAAAAACUAUACUAUACACAGUCUCUUUUCAACUCGGCGGUGACGGCGGCAUACACCAGCAACCUGACGUUAUUGUGACAACAUCAUGGCGUAAGAUUUAACCAUCAUGAAGUGGUUAUUUUCGAUCUCAGUGAUGAAGUUUUGCUCAUUCGAAAUUACGAUAUCUUCAUAGUCGCUGUUGUUUUGGGAUCUUCAACCUCAAAGAAGCUAGAUCUUAAUCAUUGUUCUUGUUUUGGAGGUUUUCAGGCAUCCGUGAAUAUCCGUAUGCAAAAUUCCUGUACUAAAUAUCAUUUUCCAUUUAUGAUUUUCAUAAAAUCAUAGACAUGACAACACACAAAGUAUUCGUUUACGAAAUAACCUAACAACAAUAUACGAUCACUAUUUAUGAAAAAUGAUUAUAUAUUCUAGACUCGCAUAUAUACUUCUCAUGCAAAAUUAUAGAAAUAAUUCAUGAAUCUGACAAAUGAUUUGUAAAUGAAAAUUAUUUAAUUGUGGUAUAUAUUAAAAAAAAAUUAUAACCAAAUGCGAUAAUAUGGAUAUACAAUUAAGAGUAAUAGAAAAGUGGACAAAUGCGUUUGUGUUUCCGCUAGUACAAGGCAACAAUACCAUAUUUAAAUCAUAUUCAUCUCAAAUUUGUAUGUGUAUCUUGUUACACUCUGUAUUCACAUUUCUAUAUUCUCUAAGUUGGCGUUGCCAUUGACGCAGUUGACUCGGAAAGGACAAGCUUAUGUUUGUGAUGUUAGGUGUGAGAAGAGUUUCCAAGAGUUGAAGAAGGGGUUCACUUCAGCUCCAGUGUUGAUUUUUCCGAAUCCGAAGGAAUUGUUUGUUGUGUAUAAUAAUGCUUCUAAGAUGGGUCUUAGUGGUGUGCGCUUAUGUAGAAUCGUCAGGUUUUGACUUAUGCGUCGAGACAAUUGAAAGUGCAUGAGAAGAACUAUCCAACUCAUGAUUUGGAAUUGACGGCAAUCCUGUAUGUAUUGAAGAUUUAGAGGCAUUAUCUGUAUGGUUCUAAGUUUUAAGUGUUCAGUGACUACAAGAGUUUGAAGUACUUGUUUGAUAAGAAAGAGUUGAAUAUGAGGCAGAGGAAUUGGUUGGAGUAUCUUAAGAAUUUCGACUUUCAGUUCAGUUAUCAUCCCGGGAAGGCUAAUGUUGUUGCUGAUGGUUUGAGUAAAAAGACUUUGCAUAUGUCUGCUUGAUGUUUAAAUAGUUGGAAUUGAUUGAGCAGUUUCGAGAUUUGAGUUUGGUAAGUGAGUUGACGCCGAAUGGUGUGAGGCUAGGAAUGUUGAAGCUAACAAGUAAUAUUUUGGAAGAGAUUAAGAAUGGUCAGAAGGAAGAUUUGGAACUUGUGGCUCGAGUGGUGUUGGUUAAUCAAGGUAAAGGUGGGGAUUUUAGAUUGGGUGAGAACCGUGUUUUGAUGUUUCGUGAUUGAGUUUGUGUUCCGAAUGUGGUUGAGCUUAAGAGACAGAUUUUGGACGAAGGUCACAGGGGUAGUCUGAGUAUUCAUCCAGAAGCGACUAAGAUGUAUCAGGAUUUGAAGAUGUUGUUUUGGUGGCCUGGACUGAAGAAAGAGAUUUCAGAAUUUGUUUAUGCUUGCUUGGUUUGUCAGAAAUCGAAGAUUGAACAUCAAAGACCGUCAGGUUUGAUGCAACCGUUGAUUGUGCUAGAGUGGAAGUGAGAUAGUAUCUCUAUGGACUUUGUUGGAGUGUUACCAGAUAUUGUGAAGGGUUUUGAUUCGAUUUGGGUGAUUGUUGAUCGGUUGACGAAAACGGCACAUUUUGUUUCUAUCAAGACCGGUAUGUCUGUGGCAAAGUUGGCUGAAAUCUACAUUGAACAGAUUGUUAGGUUGCAUGGUAUUCCUUCUAGUAUUGUGUCGGAUCGGGAUCCGAGGUUUACUUCUAAGUUUUGGGAAAGUUUGCAAGCUGCUUUGGGAACUAAGUUGAGAUUGAGUUAUGCUUAUCAUGCCCAGACCGAUGGCCAGACUGAGAGGACUAUUCAGAGUUUAGAGGAUUUGUUGAGAGCUUGUGUUUUGGAGCAAGAUGUCAGUUGGAUCGAAUGUUUACCGUUGAUUGAAUUUACUUACAACAACAGUUUUCAUUCUAGUAUCGGUAUGGCACCGUUUGAGGCUUUGUAUGGUCGGAGGUGUAAGACAACGUUGUGUUGGUUUGAGUCAGGAGAAAGUGCUUUGUUAGGACCGGAAGUUGUGCAAGAGACUACGGAAAAAUAUAAGAUGAUUCAAGAGAAGAUGAAAGCGUCUCAAAGUAGACAGAAGAGUUAUCAUGAUAAGAGGAGGAAGGACAUUGAAUUUCAAGUUGGUGAUCAUGUGUUUUUGAGAGUGAACCUUGUGAUUGGUAUUGGACGUGCUUUGAAGUGUAAGAAAUUGACUCCUCGUUUUGUUGGACCUUUUGAGAUUAUUGAGAAGGUUGGGGUUGCAGCGUAUCGGAUUGCGUUACCACCGUCUUUGUCGAAUCUUCAUGAUGUGUUUCAUGUGUCUCAGUUGCGGAAGUAUGUGUAUGAUGCGUCUCAUGUGAUUCAAGUGGAUGAUUUGGAAGUAAGGGAUAGUUUGACCGUUGAGACUUGGCCAGUUAGGAUUGAGGAUCGCAAAGUGAAGCGUUUGCAUGGCAAGGAGAUUGUUUUGGUGAAAGUGAUUUGGGUUGGACCAACUGGUGAGAGCGCCACUUGGGAAUCGGAGAGUAGGAUGAAGGUUUCGUAUCCGAAGUUGUUUCCUUCAGGUAAUUUUCGAGGGCGAAAAUUCUUUUAGGGGGGAGAGUUGUAACAGCCCAAUUUUCGCUAGAAUUAUUUUUAAUUGUUUUAAUGUGUGUUUAUAUGUGCUUGUGUGUGAUUAUUUACCAUUGGGUGCAUUUUAAUGGGUUUUAGUACAAAAAGGGUAAUUUGGUCAUUUUGUAAGUAAGGGUAAAUUAGUAAUUUCAUGGUGAGGGUUAUUUGUAGUUUUUCAAGUGAGAACCAUUAUUUUACCAAGUUACUAGUGUGGUAAUUAGUUGUAAGCUGGUAAGUGAUCGUUGUUAUUAUUUUACCAUUAAGUCAGUAGAAAUAUUCUAGGAGCUAAAUUGAAGCUUUUGCUAGGAUUAUUGCUUAUUGAUGUAAGGGGGUUAGAAUUCAAUCAUAAUCACUUAGUUAAUUUCUUCAAAACUUGUGUACUAUGAGUUCAAUUAAGGUGUUUAAGAGUAUUUAACCUAUGUUGUGAUGGAUCUAACUUUGUUUUGUUUUGAAAAUGAAUUGGGUUUGCAUUAUGAGUAAAACGAUACGAACUUUGCAAAACUUUGAAAUUUAAGUGAGUUGGCCUAUGAGACGUUGAUGGAUACACUACUGCACUCAUAUGUGAUUGGUGUAUAUACUUAGUUGAGGUUUCCAAAUGUGUUUACUUUGUUUUGUCGGAUAACUUGAAAAUUGGUAAAAUGAUACAAACUUGUUGUAACUUGUGAUUUUGAUGAUUUUUGUCGUGGUUGGCCGGUGAAACGAACAUGUGUAUUCAACUACAUGCAUAUGUGAUCUAAGUGUAUACAUAGUAGAGACCCUAGAGUUUAUUUAUUUGGUUUUGAUUCAUUUGUCUCAAUUGUUUUAAAGUUGUAAAAUGAGAGACGAACUUUGUCGGAAAUAAUCUUAAGACCAAAUACUUGGCAAAUCUUUUGUGGAUAGUUUUCUAUGACUAUAUGAAUAUAUGUGAAUGCUUUAUAGGUGUUGAAUAUGAUGUUUAUCAUAAUGUGUUGUAUUUUCUCCUUUACUUGAAUUGUGAGAAAUUGUAUGGAGUUGUUGAACUAUAUGAUAUAGUUGAUGUUGAAUAAUGCAUAUAUGUUAAUUGAUGAGGAUAUUGUUGGUGAAUACAUAUAUGUUGAUUGAUUGCAAUAUUGUUGGUGAAUGCAUAUAUGUUUGUUGGUUGUGAUAUUGUUGGUGGAUACAUAUAUGUCAAUUGAUUGUGAUAUUGUCGGUGAAUGCAUAUAUGUCAAGUGAUGGUGAUUUUGUUGGUGAUUGCGUAUAUGCUAAAUGAUUGAUGAUGAUGUGGUGAUGACUCUAAAUUGAUUUAUGACUUGAUUGAUUGUGUGGACGUAAAUACUUGAUAAUGCAAUUGUUGUUGAGGUGAUCAAUAUAAAUGGAGGUUAUCCUUUAUAUUGUUGUUGAAUAUUAUGAGGUGAUUUUACAUUGUCGAGUCUUUGCUUGUAUGUCCAUGCAUCAUAGUCAUGUUGAGUCUUGAUGUUGUAAAGGAGGGCUACUCUUUUACUUCGGUGAUAAUGUAAGAGGAUGUGUAAUCUUACAUAAGAUGUUCUGUUAGCAUCUUGAGGUGACGACCUUUGAGGCGAUUUGGUACCACAUGCAUAUAUGUGUCGUGUAUAGGCGCAUAUCAUAUUGCCAUGAGUCUUUGUUGUUGCACGUGAAGGAUGAUUGUUGUUGAUAAGUGUGUUUGAUGAAUACAUACUUGUGACAUUUGGAUUGAUUGGUUGAUGAAUUGUGUCAUAAUUGAAUAUGUGACUUAAUUAGUUUGUGCAUUGGUGAAAUUGUUGAAUGAUGUGAUUUAUGUGGAUUGUGUAUAUGUACAUUAGUGGAUUUUGUUGAUGGUUGUAAAUAAAUGAUCUAUGCUCUAAUUGCAUAUCUUUUUUACUUGUGCUUAUACACAUUAUGAAUCUACUUAAUGAUAAAUGUUUUGGUAAUAGUGAUGAGGUGAGAAUUAUAUAUGUGUAUAUACAUAUAUGUUUUGGUGAUUCCUUUGAUAAUGAUAAUUACUUGCUUAUAACUUUGAAAUGAUUAAUUAUACUUGUUGAGUUAUGUAUGCUAAAUGAAAAAUAAGGUGAGUAAUCCUUUCAUUGAUUAACUGUUGAUAAAUGAUGAGCUUAGGUCGAUGAUUUGAUUAGUGAGUGAAUAUGUUCCUAUGCUGUGUUAGUAAUUUGAUAGCUUGAAAUGUAUGUGGUGGGGGAUAAUAAUCAUGUGAUGCUAGUAUUCUAGGAGGAUGGUUAUGUAUAUGUGCUAUGCAUGAAUCCUUGAAUGCCUAUGUUUAUUUAUGUUGAUUAUGAUUGAUGUGAAGCUUACCCCCAUUGGAUCUGUAAUGGACCGCCUACCUGUUUGUAUGAAUGGGUAGACUGCGUGCAUGAUUAGUUGCUUUUGGUGAGUUGCUUGGUGAUUGCUUGGAUAGCGGGAGCUAUCUCCGUUAUCGUCUCCGUAGAGUCUUAGGAUAGACUCUGAUCUAGGAUGCCUGUCUGAUGAUUAUUCUAUAUUGUUUAUUCUGGAUUUAUUUAUGUUGAGGAGAAUUUCUAUGAUGAUGUAUUUGAUCUCAUGGCAUGUAUACUUUGAGGUGUAUGGUUUAUAUCCGCUGCAACUGUUGAGAAUUCUUAUAUAUGCCUGAUAUUUGGAUUUUGUUGAUGGCGUGGCGUCUAUUUCUUGAAUAUUUAUAUUAUUCGCGUGUUUUAUCGCUUUAAUAGAAAUAGGGCGUUACAGACUGUACAUAGCUCAUGUUGUGAAAGUGCCUCAAAAUUGAAGAAAUUGGAAUCCUGGAAGCUGAAAAUCGGUGGCCGAUUUUCAGGGCACAGUGGCUGAUUUUAACCUGUUUUAUUUGAGCUUCAGGUUCGGCAAAAAUCGGUGGCCAAUUUGGAGCAUUCAGUGACUGAAUUUGACAGCAGAAAAUAAAACAAAAAAAUAUUUUCGGGCUUAGAUUUGUUUCAGUUUUAUUGAGGAUUCUUUUACUAUAAAUAUAGAUAUUGUAUCAAUGUAAACCUUGAGAUAGAGGGGGCUGAAACAAGGGUUUAGAAAGGCAACAUCAAAACUAGGGUUUGUAUAGAGUUUGUCUCUUGGCAACAAACACUAGGGUUUGAGGGUUGAUUCACCUUGGGAAACACUAUUAGGAUUGAGUCUCUUGGUUACGAGAAGAUAUUGGGACUUUGGGUAGCAUUAGGCGGGAGACGUAUUCUUGUAACCCAUUGAUAUAUCUUUUGUAAGGUUACUUAUCAUAUAGUGAAACAGUGGGCUGCUCUCUCCCCUAGACUAGGUUAAUUUGGACCGAACUGGGACAACAAAUUCUUGUGUUCUCUCUUCUUUUCUCCCGCUGUUUUCUACUUUUGGCUUGUGUUUAUAAUUGUUCCUUACACUUUGUUUUGGUUGCUUGAUUAUUCCUUGCUCCACAAAUCAAGUUUGUUAUCGGUGUGAUUUUUCAUCGAAUUCACAACAAUUGGCGCCCACCAUGGGGCAAGGGUCAAAGAAUAAUCAAGUACCAUGGGUUCGAAGUGGGAUAUUGAGAAGUUUACCGGAGAUAACGAUUUUGGGUUAUGAAAGGUAAAGAUGGAAGCGGUUUUAAUACAACAAAAGUGUGAGAAAGCUUUGAAGGGUGAAGGUGCGUUACCCGGUCACCAUGUCACGAGCGGAAAAGACCGAGAUGGUGGACAAGGCCAAGAGUGCCAUUGUCUUGUGCCUCGGGAAUAAAGUUUUGAGAGAAGUAACGAAAGAACCAACCGCGACAUCGAUGUGGUCAAAGUUCGAAUCUUUGUAUUUUACAAAGUCUUUGGCUCAUCGGCAGUUCCUAAAGCAACAACUUUACUCAUUCAAGAUGGUAAAAUAAAAGGCAAUCAUGGAGCUACUUGUGGAGUUCAACAAAAUCAUUGGUGAUUUGGAGAACAUUGAGGUGCGUCUUGAGGAUGCGGGUACUCUGAUGGCGUAGUGUUGUUUGGAGGAUGAAGAAGGUGAUGUGUCUCACCUUGAGAAUGAUGCCUAGUGGAGCGGUGGUCAUCUGGAGAGACGCUAAACACUCAACAUCAUCCAGGAGACGCGGUGGUAAGAAUACUCAUGAUCAGUUCGGAGAGGCGGAGGAACCAAUACUCAUGAUCUACUUGUUAAGAUGGAGUUUCAAGGUUGAAGACAUAAUGGGAUAUACACAUUUUCUAGUUGAGGUAGAGUACACUCAGCGUGAGGUGGAGUUGAACACACCAGUAAUGGUACGGCUAUGGAGGACCUUGGGUGCUAUGCUCUAUGGUGAGCAAGGGAUUUCUUCAUGAAGACGGAAGAUAUUCCGAAGGUUGAAGAAUGUAUAGCACGACUUGCGGGAUUACCCUAAAAAAAGGCCAAGGGUGAUUGGAUGCAAGGUGACCUUCAAGGAAGCGGAAGAUGUUCUGUGUUGAAGAUGUUAUGGUGAAUGCUUGUCGAACUACAUAAAAUUCCUAGUGUAGUUGGACUGCAAGGACUCUUCGAGAAGGCGGGAGACGUUCCGAUGGCAGAAGAGGUUAAGGUGAAUGCUUGUGGAACUACCUAAAAUUCCUAGCGUAGUUGGACUGCAAGGACCUUCGAGAAGGCGGAAGACAAUCCGAUGGCUGAAGGGGUUAGGGUGUAAACUUGUGGAGCUACUUGGUGUGGUGGGAAGCAAGGGAAGGAGCAACAUGGUGGUUGAUGGUGUGGCAUCAUCACUAAUUUAAAGUCAAGGUGGAGAUUAUUGUGAAAGUGCCUCAAAAAUUAAGAAAUUGGAAUUCUGGAAGCUGAACAUCGGUGGCCGAUUUGUAGGGCAUGGUGGCCGAUUUUGACCUGUUUUAUUUGAGCUUCAGGUUCGGAAAAAAUUGGUGGCCGAUUUUGAGCAUUCAGUGGCCGAUUUUGACAGCAGAAAAUAAAAUAGAAACGUAUUUUCGGGCCUAGAUUUGUUCCAGUUUAAUUGAGGAUUCUUUUACUAUAAAUAUAGACAUUGUAUUAGUGUAAACCUUGAGAUAGAGGGGGCUGAAACAAGGGUUUAGAAAGGCAACAACAAAACUAGGGUUUGUAUAGAGUUUGUCUCUUGGUAACAAACACUAGGGUUUGAGGGUUGAUUCAUCUUGGGAAACACUAUUAGGAUUGAGUCUCUUGGUUACCGGAAGAGAUUGGGACUUUGGGUAGAAUUAGACGGGAGAUUUAUUCUUGUAACCCAAUGAUAUCUCUUUUGUAAGGUUACUCAUCAUAUAGUGAAACAGAGAGCUGCUCUCUCCCCCAGACUAGGUGAAUUUGGACCGAACUGCUGGGUCAACAAAUACUUUUUUGUUCUCUCUUCUUUUCUCUCGUUGUUUUCUACUUUUGGCUUGUGUUUAUAAUUGUUCCAUACACUUUGUUUUUGUUGCAUGAUUAUUCCUUGCUUCACACAUCAAGCUUGUUAUUGGUGUGGGUUUUCAUCGAAUUCACAACAGCUCAGUUUGUUAGAGGAACCAGGAUAAUCGCUUGGGUCAACUCUCUCUCUCUCUCUCUCUCUCUCUCUCUCUCUCACUCUCUCUAAACCUUAAACCUUAAACCCUAAACCCUAGGUUGAUAGCUAAGAAAAAGGGGAGAUAUGUUCUUGAAGGAAAGGUUAUACCAAGAAGCAGCGUUGGGGAUAAGGUAUACAUAACUAGACUAUCAUUGACACCUUCAGAUACUAGAAUUCUUUUUAAAUUUUAACAUAGACAAUUUCCUAUAGUUGUACUUCAAAUAUGAUGUGUUAAAGAAAUUUUCUGAUAACAAGAAGCAGCGUUGGGGAAAGAUGUUUGCAUUGAUUGUACUUCAAGAAAAUCGGGUUUAAUAACGAGUACAUCAAGAAAAUCGGGUUUGAUAACGAGUACAUCAAGAAAAUUGGGUUUGAUACUCGUUAUGAUAACAAGAAGCAGCGUUGGGGAAAGGUGUUUGCAUUGAUUGUACUUCGAAUAUGAUGUAUAAAGAAAUUUUCUGAAAUGUGUAAACAUGAGAAACUUCAAAUAUAAUUGUAUUUAUUCUUAUAACAUUAAAAUUAUAAGUUGGGUAUGUGCUAUAUAAUUUUAUUUUUGUCUACUACAUUUACGAUGUAUAUGACCCGUGCGGUAGUCAGGUAAACGUUCUAGUAAGGUUUCUAAUCCCAAGGAGUUAAAAGCCAAGCAAGAAGUACCCAAAAAAAAAAAAAAUAAAAGAAGGAGAAGCCGCAUGGCACACAGAGUUAAAUUCUAGAAUAGUAACAGCAAAGAUCCAAUUUCCAUGAAUUUUACUUUUCUUGUCCAUUGAGUAAAGUGAUAGACAUUAUAUAGUUUGUUCUGAGGACAAGUUGCUUUAGUAGCAAAGAGGACAGGUAUAAAAAAUCUAUUAAAGUGAAGUGUGAGAUUUUUUUUUUAAGCAAGCAUAUUUACUUAUCUUGUUUAUUAGGUAAAGGUUUGAGAGCAUGAAAAACUAAAGCACUACCCUGAGCCCAUCAAUAUAUAACUAGACAUUUUGAUUUAUAAUUUCGUUAAGUUUGAAAGAUCAAUAUUCCUCAACCAUUAUUACAUUGAAUGAAUGAUGUCAUCCCAAACUACCCUUGAAGAAAAUAUUGUGGAGCUACAAAUAUACAUAGAUACAAAUCAAACACCCCAAAAUUCACGACCAAAGAUACAAAGGGUGCCACGGUAUGUCAAAAAUAGAACAAAAUUUAAGGAGCAUUACAGCCCCAAGUUUGUGUCAAUAGGUCCUAUCCAUCAUGGCAAUACAGAUCUAAAGUUAGGAGAGAAGUACAAGCUUAUGUGGGCAGCAAAAUACAUCAAAAACACUGGAAGCAUUCAAAAGGAUCUAUACAAAAAAAUUGCUGAUAACAUUGAUGAAUUGAAGGGCCAUUUUAGCGACGAUGUUUUAACUUUAACCGGCGAGUCUCUUGAAGGCUAUCAUAGCCUUGAAGAAAAGUUAUCAUGGAUGUUGUUCGUGGAUGGAUGUUCUUUGCUACAUAUCUUGGAGAAAACCAUGCUUUAUGAACCAGGGCACAUGAAUGUUAAGGUUGAUCAACUGGUUCUUGUGAUGAUGGAUGUGCUUUUGUUGGAGAAUCAACUUCCUUAUCAAGUACUCAAGCUAUUGUGGAAAGAUAGCAAUGAGAGUGAAUUGAUAAAAAUUAUGACGAAUUUCCUCGACUGUCAUCAUUGGGCCACACUAGAUAAUAAGAGAAGCCGGAGGUGGCAACUCAAUCAAGAUACAACAACAAUACCCGCUCAUCUUCUUGAUCUUCAGCGUAAUAUCAUCCUCAUUAAAUCUACACCCAAGGUAUAAUAGAAAUCUUAGAGACAAAAGUAAAGUUUGUUUCUAUUUUUUGUCUUAUUAAAACUAACGACAAAAUUUGAAACAGAUUUUGCCUUUUUCCGUUUCUAAAUUUGCUACGAUUAUUAUAAUUACCAAGUGGAGGAUAGUAAUUAGAGAGGAUUAAACUUAAACUAAAAUAAAAUAAUUAAUACUACUUAGAAAAGAUAAAAUAACACUAGUUUUAAAAUAUUUUUCUUUUUCCGUUUCUAAAUUUCAUCACUAUUUCAACUUUUCUUUUAUUAGUUUAAGUUUACCUAUAAUUAAUUUUCAACUUUUUGAAAGAAAAAAAAAACUGGCAUACUUUCUACUUUUGGUAUACUAACCUGUGGCCUUAAUGCACAUGUUACUAUCUUCCAUAUUUUAAUUACAAAGUGGAGGAUAGGGAUUAGAGAGGGGUGUGCAUAUAUAAUAGUGAUUAGAGGGUUAAACUAAAAUAACAUAAUAAUACUACGUAGAAAAGAUAAAAUAACAAUUGUUUUAAAAUAUUUUUUUCUUUACAAAAUGUGGUAUUUUAUUACUGUAAGACGAAUGAAAUUUUAAAAUUUUAUUGUUAUGAUCCAAUCCAUUUCUGUUUAAAACAUAGAUUGAAAACUAUAAAGCUAACAAGGAGAAUUGGAGAAUGAAGACGAUAUACAUGAACAUAAAAGAUCUAAAAGCACUAGGAAUAAGACUUAAGUCAAGCAAGACACGAAGGCCAAAAGACAUAGAUUUCACCGAAGGAUGGUUCACUGCAGAACUAACUCUUCCUGAGAUCGUUGUGGACGACACAUCAGCCACUACUUUCCUCAACCUGAUAGCAUAUGAGAUGUGUCCAAAUUUUGACAACGACUACGGAAUUUGUUCUUUUGUAGCUUUUAUGGACUCGCUCAUCGACCAUCCUGAAGAUGUGAAGGUACUGAGAUCAAAAGGAAUUUUGCUCAAUUCCCUUGGGAGUGAUGAGGAAGUUGCCGAACUUUUCAAUAUCAUAGGUACUGACUUGGUACCUAACCCAGAAACAUAUUUUGAAGUUAAAGCCAAAAUGAUUGAUCAUUACUAUAAAUACAGAACUGGGAUAGUGCGGGGUUAUUACACUUACUUCAGGAUUGCUGCAUUUAUCGCCAUUGCUCUUACUUUCAUUCAGACAGUGUUUACAGUUUACCCGGCAUUCAAAAAAGAUGGUUAGUUAUGACAAUGUUGUUUUCGUUAUGGCACUUCUCUAUGGAUUGUAUACCUUCAUGCGUCUUAAUGUUGAUUAUUUAACAUAUGUGGAGUGUUUUUUUUUUUUUUUUUUUUUGUGCUAUGUAUAAGAAUUGAAACAUGAAUUUUCAUAUUUCAACUUAAUUUAUUCAAAUUAUUAUUCUCAUAAACGAUCUACAUGUUUCUAUAUUGUUGAGAUUUUGUUUAGAUGAGUUAUUUAAUUUUGUGUUCAUUGACAUUUCAAUAAGUGAAUAGAUCGAAUGAGCUAAUAAAACAAGUAUAUUAAAAGUAUUACUAGACAUGGGAACAAACAAAUUAAAGUAUUGGUUACGAAACAACCUGACAACAAAAUUCAACUUAAAUCUAUUCACUAGUUAUGAAAAUGACAAACUUGAUGAAUCAUUUCUUCAUCAACUUCAGCACAACCUUCUUCACUUAGUUUUUUCUCUGUCUUUUCAUCGCUUACAGAAGAAAAAUGAUUAUAUAAUUCUAAUAUAUACCUCUCAUGGAAAAUUGUACAAAUAAUUCAUGAAUGCAAGAAAUGAUUUCACUACAAGAAAAUAUGUGAUUUGCACGCCCAUUUUCGCAGUUCAUUUCCAGCUGAUUUCUCGCGAACAAGUUUAGCUAGAGAUAUGCUGCAGAAUACCUAUUGAUUCGGCCGUAGCAUAGAUUGAGAGACAACAUUGCUAGGGAAGUAUUUCUUAUUACAUCCGUAGUAAAAAGAAACAAGUUCCUAGCAAAUAAUCAGUUGAUAUAUAGCAAAUAAGUAUUGAAAAAGUAUUUUCCAUAGCAACAUAACUAGGACAUAUCAUAGCAAUUUCGCAACAAAACCAUAGCUAUAAUCUAACUAAUUUGAAACAAACCAUAGCGACAUGACUAAAAUUUAUCGUAGCAAAUCCACAACAAAUCUAUAGCUAUAAUCUAACUAAUUUGCAAAUAAAACCUAGCAAUUUGGAAGUUUUCAUCCAAUUUUUUUUUUUUUGCUGUUUUUUUUUUUACUAUAUUAAUUUAAGAAAUUUAUUACUAAAUAAUAAUGUAUAUACAUAGCUAAACAUAACAAGCCAAAUUUGCAGAAAAUGCAAAGCUAAAAUAUCACCCUGAUUUUAAAUUAUAUUUUUAAUAAAUAAAAAAUCCAACAUUCCUAGUAAUAGAUGAUCCUCUUGCAUCCAUGAACGAAUUAUGCUCCCUUGAAUUCAGAACUGCCACAACCAUUUUGAACAUGAAAAAGGAUAAUGAAUUAAAAAUCCCCUCAUCAUUUUCUACUCUAGGAUACUGUGUUGGAAAUGACUGACUUCAACUCAUGGCAAUUCUCGUCUUUAGCUUCUGUCAAGAAAGAAGUGACCAUCAACUCUUAGAAGUGGAUAAUAUAUAAGAUCAUCAGACAUUAUUUGAAUACACUCCCAGGAAACAUUCACAAAGCCUGUUGAAGUCAAUCUUAUGUCAUCAAAUUAGACGAGAUGUGAUAACAGAUUAAAUGUAAAUGAAUCCCUCUCCAUUCUUAAUUCCAAUUUUUUGUGCUAAUACUUUAUAAGAAAGAUGUUAGCUAAAAUAGUUAGGCUUUGAAGAGAACGUUUAUGGUUGUCGCUCAUAUGAUAUCUAACAAAUAUUGAACUGGACUAAUAUUGAUGCUAUCAAAUCUUCAUGUGCAUAACGAAUUUGUGUUACUUUCAACAAACAGUGUAUGGUAGUCACAUGAUAGAAGAAAAAUCGUUGAUAGUGAGCACUUGUAUGGAUGUUAAAAAAGCUCACCUUUGCGGUCUCGUUUGGAUUUCCAUCUCUAUCACCUCCUAUCCAAAUUCUAAACUUUAUGGGAGUGCAAGUCAAUGGAAGUGGCUUUCCAGUAUGCUGCAAAAUGGAUAGAUUGUAUGACAAAAAAAAUUUAUAAAAAAAUUACAGCUAAUUGACCAAGAAUUCAAGAUGAUAGGUACCUUCUUUAAAGCAUUGCUGACACGACGUAAAUAAUGAGGAGCAACUUUCCAGAGUGACUGCUCCACUAUAUUCAAACUUGUGAGAAAUAAAAAUAAAACGAACAGUUCUUAAUCUUACACGCCAAAUUGUUAUUAUUUUCUUUUAAUGUGAACCAGAAGAGCUGAGAUAUCCAAUACUAGAUCCUGAAGCAACUUACCAGCUCUAGCUUCAUCAACUGGAGUGGUUUUUGGCGCCUAAGCUCAUCUGUCUGCCGUAUUGAAGUUAACUCGCUCACCUACCAAAUCGCAAUGACACAAGAGAAUAUAAGAAAUAUUUCCACUUAAUAAUUAAACAUGAAGUCUCUAUCCUCUCACAGUACGGUGGCUUUUUAGAGUGAAAAUACAGUAGAGAAGAAAUACUAGAUCCUCAAUCAGCAUCUAAGAUCAGGUCGAUCGUUAUAAUCCAAAGGAUGCUACAUGUUGAGAUGUGAAAGUAGUUACAGACAAAUACUUAUAUUAUCUUUGAAUUUGAAAACUUCAAUCCAUUGAAUUUUUUAAUGGCCAAACAAAGUAAAAUACUCAGCAAUCCAAAUGUGUUUGUACUGCAGUGUUUGUCGAUUACUUUGUGUGGGAUGAGCUUCUUCUAAAGACAUCUUUGACAACUCUGAAGCUAACUGCUUCUCAAUUAACUCAGCCAUGUUCACUAUACCUGCUUGCCUCAUAUUACAUCCACUCUGCCAGAAACAAAAAUAGAAACAUCAUUCACAAUUACACAAUUUUCACCUCUGUAGCAUCGACACUUCUAAUCAAAGGUGUGUCUGGUGUCUGUGUCAGUGCUUUGUAGAUUUUCACAUUUAGGGAAAAAAGUGAAACCCCAUAAAAGGAAACAGAGCAAUGUUUGCCAUCACGGAGGAAGUUAAAAAAUGGCGCCAACACUUGUUAGGCCGCCAUUUCAGAAUUUUCACCGAUCAAAAGAGUCUACGUAGCCUUAUGCCACAAACAAUCCAGACACCAACACAACAAAAGAGGCUUACCGAGCUUUUAGGAUUUUAUUUUGAAAUUCUCUACAUUCCAGGGAGAGACAAUAAUGAUGCACAGGCCCUUUUAGGCUUGAUUUUGAAACAGAGCAAGGCAUUCUAUACUACAAGGGUCUUAUUUAAAGCAGUGUAAAGGGGGAAGGGCAUAACCAUACAAACCAAGAGCAAGUGAAAGAUAUAAACCAGACAUAAAUGCACAUAGAAAUAUAGUUGACCAAAAAAUGUCAUAAAAAUGAAGUUAUUUAAUGGAGUAAAUUGUAAGGAAUGUUUAGCACAAAUAAGCUACAAAUAAGCUACUUAUCCAAACAGACCCUAACUCAAUAGUUCUCUAAAGUUUUAUGCACCAUAACAACAACUCAUUAGAUUGAAGAUCAUGGUGAUCAUCACAAUAACCUGAGCUACUAUUAGGGAAUUAACUAGAGUUGUGGACUGGCAUGGAUAGACCAUUCCGCUUGACUGUUCAAGUCAGGCCAGCUCAGCUCGUCUUCAGUCAACACUGGUGUGAUUGUUCAAGUCAGACCAGCCAGUUCAGCUCGUCUUCAGUCAACACUAGUUUGAUUGUUCAAGUCAGCCAGCUCAGCUCGUCUCAUCUUCACUUUAUACCACGUGUCAUGUACAGAUGAUCAGCGCGUCUCGACUCCACGCGCCUGGUACGGAUGAGUUGCACCCUAGUCCACGUGCGGCCAUACAGAAAGCAGACAACCAAUGGGAGGCUAUGGAUCACAACUUAAUGGGCUUUGAAUGAUCAAAGAAAGACCCAUUAGACCAACACUUUAAUGAACAUAAAAGGGGGACAAUUUUAUAGACUUAUCUUAGAUUGGCCAAUGUAAAAUUGUUCAUGGAACAGCCUCUCUAAUUGAGUCCAAUGUUGAAUGGAAUGUGGUUCAAGCGUGGUGAACCACGUAAAGACAUUUUUUGUUAGAGAAUUUGCAAAGAACUUCAAUCUCAAAUUCUCAUUGUUUGCAAUAUUUUCUUCAAAAUAUACAACUUUCCUCAUUUGGAGGAACUAAAAAAUUGUAAUGAAGAAGGGUUAUCGGGGCUUAGGAGGGUUUAUAUAAAUUCUUCAAAUUUAAUAUAAGUUGUUAUAAUAUUUUUAAAAUUAAAAAUAUAUUAAAUAUAAUCAUUAAUUUAUCACUCUUUAAUAAAAAUACUCUUUUAAAAGAUGUAAAAGAUUUUUCAAUUUUUCCCUAUAUUUCUAUCCCUCCAAAACCUUUCCUUCCCCUCCUCUUCUAACUCCCAAACAAAAUCUAAGUGUCUCUUAACCACAACGAUCAGAAGGAAGUUACUAAUCGAAAGAUGGAAGUACACAUAAUCUACCUUAAAUGACCCUCAACCACAAUGCUCACAGACAAUAGAUCUUAAGCCUGGCGUUUAAAUUGACAAGAUAUUUUGUGUAGUUUUUUUUUUGAUUAAUUGAUUGAUCUCACAAACAAUGUUAUUAAAAUUAAAGCCACUAACACAUUGCAGAGGAAUCAACUAAUUUCAAUAUAUAUAUAUAUAUAUAGGAUUGUAACUUACUUUCUUUUAAGAACAUCAAAGAGUGAGUUAAUUAGCAUACUCCCACUUGAGGAAUAAGUUAACAACCUUGAUAACUUACUUUUUUACCAAAAAAAAACCAACUUCUAUAAUUUAAACCAACUGUAAACGGGGCGGAGCGACCCCGCUAGUCCAGUCAUUACUAGAACUUUUAGCUUUUCCUGCGGAUUUUUGUGUAAAUUCCGCAGGAAACACAUUUCCUGCAGAUUUUGCGAAGGAUUUAGGUUAUCAGGUGAGAUAAUACCUUAGGAUUUUAAGAUCCGCAGGAAAGAUAUAUCCGUAUUAAAAUGUGAAAUUAUCUGCAGGAAAUGUGAAAUUAUUCACAGAAUAGCAGUAACAUUUUGUGAUAAAUUUUUUGCCUAGAUUCUAUAAAAUUCCUGACUCCGCCACUUACUGUAAAUGUAAUGAUUGUACAAAAUCAUGCACGUGUAACAUAUUUAUUAUUUAUAAACUUACAUGAAAAAACGUAAAUAUUUGUAUGUAUAAAAAAUACGAGACUCAUUAACGUCAUCUUUAUAUUUAAUAAUGAGAUCUUUAUUAUUCGGUAAUAUUUUGACAUAUUUCUAAUCUACCAUUUUAUAAUAUUUUAUAACAAUUAUUUCUUUGUUUCUAUCAUUAACAUAUUUUUUAACAUUAAUUUUUUCUUAUUUUUCAAUACAAGUAACAACCGCUCAGUAAUGCCAAGAAUCCCUCAGUAAUUCAAGGUAGAUUGGUCAUUUACAUUACUGACGGAAUUAUCUGUCAGUAAAGUUUUUGUCUAAGGUAUUGAGGGUUUAUUCCUUCAGUAGCGUUAUUGAGGGUUUAAAUGCCUCAGUAAUGCAAUUUUGAAUUGGUUAGUAAUUUGAGAAAUUCUUGUAGUGAUCGCAAAUAACUUUAUAAUGUUUUCUUUUUUUGACGCAUAAACGGUCUGUUGCAAGUUAUUAUAUAUUAAAACGUGAUGCUUAGCCCGUGGAAAAACGUUAACUAUGUUUCUUAUCCUAAAGAAUGAAAAUCCAAGGAAGAAUUAAAAGGAGAAGCCGCAUGGCACACAUGAUUAAAUUCUAGAACAGUAAAAGCAAAUAUCCCUUUUCCAUGAAUUUUACUUUUCUUCCCCAUUGAGUUAAGUGGUGGACGUGUAGUUCGUUCCGAGAACAAGUUACUUUAGCAGUGAAGAGGACAGGUAUAAAAAUCAUUUAAAGUGGAAGUGUAAUAUUUUAAGCAAGCAUAUUUACUUAUCUUGUUCAUUAGGUAAAGGUUUGAGAGCAUGAAAAUCUAAAGCACUACACUGAGCCCAUAUUAUAUUAUAUAUGCAUUAGGUAAAAGUUUCAACCAUUAUUAUAUUGAAUGAAUGAUGGCAUCCCAACCUACCCUUGUAAAAAAGGUUGUGGGGUUACAAAUGGAGCUACAAAGGUACAUAGAUACAAAUCCAACACCCGAAAGUUCACGACCAAAGAUACAAAGGGUGCAAGAGUAUCUCAGAAAUAGAGAAAAAUUUGAGAAGCAUUAGACCCCGAGGUUGAUGUCAAAAGGUCCUAUCCAUCAUGGCAAUAAAUCUCUAAAGUUAGGAGAGAAGUACAAGCUUAUGUGGGCAGCAAAAUACAUCAAAAACACUGGAAGCAUUCAGAGGGAUCUACACAAAAACAUUGUUGAUAACAUUGAUAAACUGAAGGGUCAUUUUGAUGACGAUGUUUUAACAUUGACCGGAAAUUCUCUCGAAGGCUUUGAUAGUCUUGAAGAAAAGCUAUCGUGGAUGUUGUUGGUGGAUGGAUGCUCUUUGCUUUAUAUCUUGGAGAAAGACAGGCUUGUUGAACCAGGGCCUAUGGAUAUUAAGGUUGAUCAACUAGCUAUUGUGAUGGUGGAUGUGCUUUUGUUAGAGAAUCAACUUCCUUAUGAAGUACUCGAGCUAUUGUGGAAAGAUAACAACAAGAGUGAAUUGAUAAAAAGCACGACGAAUUUCCUCGAGUGUCUCUGGGCCAGACCAGGUAAGUCACAGCCAGAGAAGGAGAAAGACGUGGUUCCAAAUGAGUCACAGUUAGAGAAGGAGGAUGACGAAGAAGGACAACACAAUGUAUCAAUACCAAAUGAAUCACAUUCGAAGACACCCACUCAUCUUCUUGAUCUUCAGCACAAAAUGAUCGCCACGGCAUCUAAACCCAAGGUAAAAUAGAAUCUAUUAACAAUUAACAAUAUAUAAAAAUCGUAGUCCAUUUAAAUUUUAUAAUUGUCUUUUUUAAAUUCAUGAUCUUUUUAAUUUUAUGUGUUUAAUGGUUAGUUUUAAAAAUAUAAAACUAAUUUGUGGCUUAAUUAUAACAAAAAUAAUUUAUUAUCCUCUCUUAUGCCUUAAAUAUAGAAAAAAUAGUUUUUUUUAACCUUUCUUAUGUCAUGGAUUUAGGAAAACAGUUUAUUCUUAUAUCUAUUAAUAUUUUAAUCUAACUAGUUUACAUAUAAAAUAGGCUAAACUACACUUUUCGUCCCCUAUGUUUCAAAAUCUUGCAAUUUUGGCCCCUUAUUAAAAAAAUGGCAAAAGUGAUAUUUUAAGAAAAAUCAUUAGUUUUCAAAAUUAAAGUUGAUAUUUUAAGAAAAAUCAUUAGUUUUCAAAAUUUUAUCAUAUCGACUUUCACCUAUUGGUACAUACAAUUUUUUUUAUAGGGAUGGUACAUACAAAUUUUCUUCCGUAGAUUUAAGCACGUAAAAUAUGCAAGGAGUGGGACAAAAAUAUUAAAUGUUGUUUCGCAUAUAAAAUAGAAUAUAUAUUUAAUAGAAACACUACAUCUAGUAAUAUAAUAAUAUUUCCAAAAAAAAUCUACUACUAAUAUAAUAAUAUAAUAAAAUUGCAAUCCAUCAAAAUUUCAUAGUUAUCCUUGGUUAAACUAAAUAUUCCCUAUAUCACUAAUUUUGUGGGCUUCACGAUCACUUUUCUAUUAAAUAUAAUAAGAAAAAACAAUGUAUUAUGACAUAAAUAUUGGAAAACAAUUUAUAUUCUCAUCUUUUUUAAUCUUUUAAUCUGACUAAUUUUUAUUUUUUUUAAAUAGAAACGCUAAAUUAAUGUUGAUAUUUUAAAAUAAUCAUUAGUUUUUAAAAUUUCAAAAAAGAAAAAAAAUUCAUAUCGGACAGAUAAAAAAAUUCUUAUAUCGGUACAUAAAAUUUGAUUUUUGGAGAUAUAAGCACAUAAAAUCUGCAAUGAAAGCAAUACAAAUAUUUUCUGGUGUUUUGUAUAAACAAUAAAAAAUACUUAAUAGAAACACUGCAUUAAUGUUGAUAUUUAAAAAUAGUCACGGAUUUUUUAAAUUUUAUCAUAUCGACUAUCGCAUAGCGGUACAUGAAAUUUUUCUUCUACAUAUACAAGCAUAUAAAAUCCUCAACGAGUGGGGUAUAAAUAUUUAAUGGUGUUUUAAAAAAAUUCAUGAGUUUUCAAAAAUUUAUUAUACUAACUUUCUCAUUUAUGUAUACAAAAAUUUGUUUCUGCAUAAGGAUGGCAAAUCGGACCCGCCUACCCCGUUUAGGCCCGUCAUAUCUAAGCCUGCUUAAAAAGGAACGAGACGAUCAAAGUCAAAUUAGGUGACCCGAGUCAAAAACUUCAACUCAGCCCAUCGAAAAUAGCUGGUUAAACGAACUGGUCCGAUGGGUUGGGCCCGUUUUCCCACCCCUAUUUCUGAAGGUGAGAAAAACACAAGAAAGGGGGGGUUGAAUUGUGUUGGCUUUUUCUACAUUUUCUCCUAAGCUGAAAACACUGAUCAGAAGCAGAUAAAGUUCUACUUCUGAAGUGAUGUUCAGGACUAGAUUGCAGCGGAAGUAGUCCUGUCCCCCUUGAACUUCCAAGGAGAGUUCACUAAAAUGUUAUAUCUGAUUACAACUGCUCACUGCUAAACUUAGCAAGAGACUUCAAAAUACUCAAGCACAACUGCAAGAGAUUUCCUAUGCUCCUGAACACAAUCAAAAGACUUCUAAUUCAAACAGAAUUACACAGAAAAUUGUUUGAGGUUGAACACUUGAAAUACAAUCAGUGGUGUUCACAAUACAAAUCAGAUACAAACUCUUAAGACUCUAGAAUUUCUAAGAUAUGAACUUUCAUAUGAAAUUCUAAGUGAACUUUUGUUGUAGAGUCUUGUCAUUCUCUAAGUCUUCACUCCUUUAUAUAGUGGUGUGAAAGAGACGUUGUGAAUUGCCAGCACAUCAAAAUAGAGUCGUUCAAGCUUUGAUCAAUCACCGAUGAUCUUUUGCCUGAUAUGGUUAUUGUCCUAUGAAGGAUCAAUUUCAAAUCCAUUCCAAGUAUGAAGGAACAAUGUUGCAGGCAGAGAUGUUAUACUUGUCUUGUAGCAGAGACACAAACUGAGUAGUGGAGGUAGUGGUUGUACACUUCAUACAAUUGUACUUUGUCAACGCUCUUCAAAGAACAAGCAUCCAAUGCCUUCAAAUCCUUUCAAAACAGUCGUUGCUUCACUCUUCUGGUCUUCUGCAAUGCUUAGAAGAGAUUAAAAUCAUUGAAUAACUUUUGAAGCUUUAAGUCUUGCAUCUCCUAAUGAACUUCAGCUUCUGAUGAUAUGCUUCUGAUGACAUCAUCACUUCAUGAGCACUUUGCUUCAGACGCUUCAAGCUUCUUUUAUGUUGAUUUCUUAACUCUCUUUUGUUCUUGCAAAACUCUUAAAGGGUAAUAUUAAACACAUUUUGUUCUAACAAUCUCCCCCUCUUUGAUUCUUUCUUCUUCAAGUUUAUCUUAUUUGGAGGACUUGUAUUCAAGCAGAAGUAGUUUCUGAUCUAGAAGUUCUUUCUUCAGCUGCUUGUUUUCUCUUUAUAGUGCAACAUUUCUUUGCAACAAGUCUAGUUCAGUAGAAGCUAAUUUGAAGUUAAUCUUGUUCAGCAAAGUCAAAUCCAAUUCCUUGGGAUGAAUUCAGUAGCAGUUCUAGCUUCUAGACACAAUGGUGUUCUCACAAGAGUCAACCUCUUCAACUUUACUGACAACCCCUUUUAGCCAGUCUUGAAGAUUGUUCUGAGCAGUGUCUUGAGCAUCCAAGCAUGAUCUCUGAAGUUCAGUCAAGACAAAAUCCACUCUCUCCUUCAAUCUUCUCCAAUUCUUCACAUAGUUGUCUUCAUGCACCAGAUUGUUCUUUGCCUGAACUAGCUUAAUCAGCUCCUAAAAGAGAUUCUCAUACAAAUCUGUUAGUAUAGAAGAAUCUAGAAACAGGGUGGGUGGAGAGGGUAUAUUUGUGGAUAUGGCAGGAGCACAAGCUUGAAUGGCUUGGCUGGAAGAUGAAGGUUGGUCAUUUGUGGAGGAUGCAGUUUGAAUAUUGGUCUCUGAAGGUUGAUCAGGAACAGAUGUUAAGACCAUAAAGUAUGAGUUAGAUUGCUCAACCUCAACAUCAGAAUCUUUAGAUGUGAUCAUAAAAUCAGGUUCGCUGACCUUUUUAGAAGAUGAAGGAGACUCAAUAUGAUCAGAAAGGGUUUGUUCAGGAACAAUUUGUUUAGGAACAAGGAUAUUUGGACAGGUGAUUGAGGCUAUUUGUAAGUUUGGUGCUUGUUGUUGGGGGCUUUCUACAGUAAUUUCCUCAGAAAUAACUCUAGAAGCUUUUUCUAGAUUGGGCUCAACACCUGGUAAUUCACCAGAGUAGUGACUGACCAGAUUCUCCAAAACAGACGGUUCUGAAGUAUGGGUGAUUGAAGUGGGAUGAGAUGACGAUGACUCAUUGAGAUUUGAAGACUCAACCUAUGAUUGGUGGUUUUAUCAUUGGUGGUUGAAAAGGAUGAUUUGCAGGUAGUCUUUCACAAACUUUGAUUCUCAUCUCAGACAUUUCUCCUAUGCUGUUUAGGAUAGAGAGAUACACAGACUCAUAGGAAAUCUUGUCAGCAUGCUUUUUAUGGAGUUUGGUGGAUGGUGAAAGACCUUUGUUUAAGGUUGUAUAGAUUCUGCCUAGAGGAACAUUAUCAUAGUCAGAUGAAGUUGAGGAGGAUGACAAUGUGGUUGACAGAGAAAGAGGUGGAACUAGAUUCUAUUUCUAUAACAGUAGCAUUAUGUGGAGAAUCAUGAUUACCUCUUGAAGCUUCUGAAUCACGAGCUUCUGAACAACCUGCAUGUUCCUUCAGAACUUCUUCAGCAAGAUCUUUCAACACUUCACAAGAUGCUACCAGUUGUUGAAGAUCCUCUGUAAGCUCAAUCCCCAGUUGAGCAGCUUCAACAGUUGAUUCUUUCAUUAGUUGCUCAGCAGGAACUUUAAUUUCCUUUGCUAACUCCAGGACCUUCUGAAGUGUAGCAGCAUCUUCAGCCUUCUGUAGUUCUCUUGCUUCUUAUCUCCCUUGUGACUAGAUAGUAGUAGCUUUUAUUUGAUCUUCUUCUUCCAUCACAUAGUUUGCUACUUUCAGCUUCCUGACUUCUUGAUUUAUUUUCUUUUUAGGAACUAAUUGAGCAGGUUGUGACUGUGAUUAAGAAAAGCCAACUAUCUUGCCACUUCUAGUUCUCUUAUUCAGCACCUUAUCAGCAUCAAGGUCCUGAACUUCUUCUAGGAUGGUUGGCACAUUUGAAUCAGUUGCUUUUUCCAUAGGAGCAACUUGAGCUUUCUUGGCUUUCUUUGCCUUCUUCUUUUGAGGAUCAGAAGCUUUCUCAUCAUCGUUAGCUUCCUUUUCUUCUUAGAAGCAACACGAAAAGCAACACCAUACAUGUUCUCUAGAACAUCUUCCAUCUUGAUGGCUUCUCCUAUUAACUCAAAAUGUUUCAUGAUGUAGUUUACUCUCACAUCCAGAGGGUCUUUCAUGCAUAUAAGAGGAAAGUCUUCCAUCAAGUUUGAUACAACAUCAGAUUCUUUCAAGUAUGUGUCCAGCUUCUUGUAAUCAUCUUUGCCAAUUAACUUCAUGUGCCUCAGAGUACUCCCAUUGAUUACUUUCCCUGUUACUGUACCAAGAUCUUUAUCAUAGAAGAUCUUUGUUUCACUCAAUGCUUCCAAAAUUCCUCCUUGAUGAAGGAUUUUAGAGAUUAGUCUUCCAUAGGGAAUCCAGACUCUGUUGAUUUUGGAACUGAACUUGAAGAAGCCAUUGAUGUUGAAGAAGUUUCAGGGUUCUAGGGUUCUGAGUGAGGAAGUUACGUUUUACUUCGCAGAGAAUAAGUUGUGAAAAGAAGAAAGUGUAGGUUGUGAAGUGAGUAGUGUGUGAUUUGUCUAAGUGUUUUGAGCAAAAACGUUUGCAAUUCAGAAGGGGACAAAUAAACACAUCAUUAAUGACAUUGGGGGCGCGAGAUAGUACAUUCAAAGCUGAAAUUCAUCAUUGCUCUCUUAAGUUAUACACCAAUACAAAUAAGCCAUGUCAGAAUAGAGUCGUUUGAGCUUUUAUCAAUCACCAAUAAUCUUUUGCCUGAUAUGGUUAUUGUCCUAUGAAGGAUCAAUUUCAAAUCCAUUCCAAGUAUGAAGGAACAAUGUUGCAGGCAGAGCUGUUAUUCUUGUCUUGUAGCAGAGACACAAACUGAGUAGUUGAGGUACUGGUUGUACACUUCGUACAAUUGUACUUUGUCAACGCUCUUCAAAGAACAAGCAUCCAAUGCCUUCAAAUCAUUUUGAAAUAGUCGUUGCUUCACUCUUCUGGUCUUCUGCAAUGCUUAGACGAGAUUAAAUCCAUUGAACAACUUUUGAAGCUUUAAGUCUUGCAUCUCUUGAUGAACUUCAGCUUCUGGUGAUCUUCAGCUUCUGAUGAACUUGCUUAUGAUGACGUCAUCACUUCAAGAGCACUUCUCUUCAAACGAUUCAAGCUUCCUUUUUGUUGAUUCCUUAACUCUCUUUUGUUCUUCCAGAACCUAAUAAAGAUACCAAAUUUUUGUCUAUGGUUCUGUACAUUUGAACAAAUAUUAGCAUAUCCAAUUAACAAUUUUUAAUAUCUUGUUAUCAUCAAAACUCUUAAAGGGUAAUGUUAAACACAUUUUGUUCCAACAAUCUCCCCCAUUAGUAUUUAAAAUGUGCAAUUGUUGUUAAUCUAAUUAACAAGUUGACUGUAAGGGUUUGAGGUUUGUAAUCUCCCCCUAAGUCGAAUAGUACUUUAAGGUGAGGUUUGUAAGCUCCCCCUGAGUUUUAUCCAAGUUAAUUAAAUUCAUCAUUAGAAACAAAAUACACUCAGAAUAAUCUCACAUUAAUAGAUUAGAAGAUAAAAAGAAUGUCCUAUUAAUUUAACUUGAUUAAAAUUAAAUUAAUGGGGCUCAGAGCCUAUAAAUACUAUACAUAUACUCCCCCUUUUGUCAUCAACAAAAAGUAUAAAAACUAAAGAGAAAAAGAAAGGGAUGAGAAAAACAUAGUGAGAAAUUCUAAUAAAAACAUUUCACAAGCAAAAUAUUAGUUCAGUAGCACAAAAACUGUUCAGAAGCACAUAAUCAUUGAUCAGAAACAGUAAUUCAGAAGUAUAUAAACAUAAGUUCUGAAGCAGAAACAUGCAAAGAUACAGACAAAAGAAAUAAACAAGUAAAUGGUGUGCAACUAAGGCUUGGCUUGGUUUUGAAACAUAUAGUUGAAUCUUUUGAAACAUAUGGUAAUCACUUUUUUAAAUAAAUAGUUUAGUUUGUUUGGAUACAACUAUAUAAAAGGAUUUUUUGUUACAAAAUUAGUUCAAUCUUUUGAAUCAUAUUUUCUCUCUCUAAAAAAAUCUAUUUUUUGAUAAGCUUCUCCUAACAGCUUCUUAAAGCCCCGUUUCUUAUAGUUUUUUUUUCAUGAAAAAAAUCAAUUUUUAAAAAAAAAAUAAUCACUUUUAAGAAUUUUCAUCCGUUUGUUACAUAAUUUUAAAAAAAUCAUAAUCUAAAAAAAAUUUAAAAACAGUUCAAAUGAAAAGCUAUUAAGAGCAGCUUCUCAAAAAAAUAUAUUUUUUUGAGGAAAGGGAAAAUAUGGUUUAAAAGAUUGUUCUAAUUUUGUAACAAAAAAUCUCUUUUAUAUAGUUGUAUCAAACAAAGUAAAUUAUUUGUUUAAAAAAAGUGAUUUUUAUUGUGGUAAACAAACGUAAAAUAGAUUCUGAUUUUUUAUUAAAUCUCUAAAAUAUAAUCUCUUAAUGAUUUUAUGUGAAAAUCAAUUUUAUUUUAGUCCGUAACAAACAUACCCUUAUUUGAAGUUGUUUUUAGAUAUUUUUGAGAUUCUGAUUUAAAAAAAGAAAAACUAUAAUAAAAGGAUGCAAUAUUUUUAAUAGUGAUUUUUUUCUUAAAAUUUUUUAACAAACGGGCUCAAAAUAAAAAGUUACUUAUUAAAAUAGUCAUGAGUUUCCAAAAUUUUAUCAUAUCAUCUUUCUUCAAUAUGUAUAUAAAUUUUUUUUUAUUCAUAUAUAGCACAUAAAAAUCUACAGCAUGUACAAAUACAAACAUUCAACGGUGUUUUGCGAAGAAAAUAAAAUUUAUUUAAUAGAAAAAUAACCACAUUAAUUUUUAUAUUUUAAAAAUAUUUACGAUUUUCAAAAUUUAAUCGUAUAUAUAUUGACUACAUAAACAUUUAUUUUCACAUAAAAAUUUCAAUGGAUUUGAAAUUAAAAUAUUAAUUUUUUUAAAAAAAUAUUUCUUGAUUUUGAAUCCUAUGUCCGAUGCCACUCCUUAGCAUUUACCUUUUUUUUGGGGGGUUAUAACACUUUUUUUUUUUUUUAAAUAUUUUUCUUUGCAAAUGUGAUAAUUAUUACUGUACACAGGAAGUAUAAUUAUGAAUUUUUUUUACUAUCUUAAUAGUAAGAUGAUCCAAUCCAUUUCUGAUAAAAACAUGUAGACUAAAAGCAAUGAAACUGCCGACAUGAAAGGGAGUCAGGAGAAGAAUAAGUUCGAGAUGAUUACAUAUAGGAACAUACAAGAUCUAAAAGCAGUAGGAAUAAGACUUAAGUCAAGCAAGACACAAAGCCCAAGAGACAUGGAUUUCUGCGAAGGAUGGUUCGCUGCGACACUGACUCUACCUGAGAUCGUUGUGGACGACACAUUAGCCUUUACUUAUCUCAAUCUGAUAGCAUAUGAGAUGUGUCCCGAUUUUAAGAACGACUACGUAAUUUGUUCUUAUGUAGCUUUCAUGGAGUCACUCAUUGACCAUCCUGAAGAUGUGAAGGAAUUGAGAUCAAAACGGAUUUUGCUCAAUUGCCUUGGGAGUGAUGAGGAAGUUGCCAAACUUUUCAAUAUCAUAGGCACUGACUUGACGACUAACAUAGACACAUAUUAUGAUGUUAGAUGCAAAAUAAAUAAGCAUUAUAGUAACAGAUACAAGACUUGGAUAGCGAAGGGUUUUGAGAAUCAUUUCAGCAGUCCUUGGACCAUUAUUGCAUUCAGUGCUGCGUCUAUCGCCCUUGUUCUUACUCUCAUUCAGACAUUGUUUACGAUUCACCCGGCUUGCAAAUAAAGGAGAUUCCCUAUGACAAUGUUGUUUUCCGUUAUGGCACUCAUCAUACUUCUCUGGAAUUUUAAUAGGUUGAGUUUUUUUAAUGAAUAAAUUUUAGGUUAAGUUUGUGUGUACGUCGUCAUGACUAUGAGUACUCAAAAAUAAAGAGUGCCUUUUUCUGUGUUGUGUGUUGAAUUGAAACAUGAAUAAAUUAAUAUUCUCAUUGAUGAUCUAUGUGUUACUAUAUUGUUGCGAUAAUACUGAUUUUGUUUAGAUGAGUUGUUUAAUAUUGUAUUCAUCGACAUCGUAAUAAGUGAAUAGACCAAAUGAGUUAAUGGGCCCGUUUGUUAUAAAAAAAAUUUAAAAUAUAUUUUUGUUAUAAUUUUUUUAACAAUUAAAUUUUCAAGAAAAACUUCAAUUGAAAAAUUCGUUUGAAUAGAUUAUUUUAAAAUGUCAUUCUAUGUAAUUCAUCAUUUUGUUACAAAUUUUUUUGCAUAAUAAAAUUUUGAAAAAAAAAUGUCUAAAAUAAAAGCUAUUUCAAAUAGCUUUUCAUAGAAAUCAUUUUUGAAAGAUGUCAUGUUGAUAAAAUAUACGAUUUUUACUAUGUAAAAUCUGAAACAAUUAAUAUUUAAAUUAGUGAAUGUCCCAAUCUCUUUUUUAACUUAUACCAAAUGAGUUUAAAAUUAUUUCUACUAUUUUUGAUGAAAUUUCCAAAACAUCCAUUUUUAGAAAUAAAAAAAGAAAUCUAUUUUUUUUUUAAAUCCAAAACAAACGGUCCCAAUAAGACAAGCAAUUAAUCGCUUUAGUCUUUGAAUUUGUAAGGAGUUGUGAGAAAAGUCUCUAAAUGCAGCGAAAUUGAAAAACAAAAUAUAAACUCUGUUACUCGAUUUAGUCCCUAACAUUAAAUAGGUAUGUUAAUGAUGACAUGAUAUCUAAUGAGGCAAUAUAACAACUGCGACGUAAGAUUGUGACAUAGCAAAGCUUAAACACGUGGCAAGGACUAAAAUAAAGAAAUAAAGAAUAUAUUAAUAAUUAAGGGAAUUUCUAUGGUACACUCGCAAAUUAAGGUGUACCGAUACUCUCGUUUACAUUUUUAUAAAUUAAUUAUCAUUUUUUUAUGAAAGAAAUAGGUGUUUGUUGACAUAUAUAUUUUAGAAAAUAUCAUUUUAUAAGAAAAAACAUCAUUUCAUUUUUUAGAAAAAUCAUACUAAAUUUUUCUACAUUUUAUUGUAAAAAAUAAUCAAAAUUCUCUAUUAUGAGUAAUAGGAAUUCAGAAAAAUCAAAUUUUAUUGUGUUGACGUUUUUGGUAAAUAAGAUUUAGUUAUUAUAAUUAUAGGUGAUAGAAUUUUUUUUUCUACAAAAAAUGACUCAUUUAACUAUUAAUUUAAGGAUUUGGUGUACCAAUACACUUAAAUUGUUGGGUGUACCAUAGAAUUCGCCAAAAUAUUAAACCUAAAUUUGAUAAAUAGAAUGGUCAUUUUAGUUCCUUAUUUAUGACUAUACUUUCAUUAUGCUCCCUGAGUAAUAAAAAAAAUGGGCAUAGUAGCCUCUGAUUUAUGACUAUAUAUAAUUUAAUUAUGGUCAUGAGCUUCCAAAUACCAAUUUGAAGCAAUCUAUCAAUGCAAUUGAAAUCAAAUAUUUGUUACAAAACAUGUCUUUCCUAGCAAAUACCAUAGAUAAUACUCAUUAAUAAUCUAAACACGAAGUAAAAUCCAAACACCAAAUUACAUAGAUUCAUAGGAAAAUAUAAAUUACGGAAAGACAUUCAUCUUGAAAAAAAUCAUUCAUUUUCAUGCUCAUGCUUCCUCUAACGCCAUGACCAUAACCACUACAUCUAUUCAUGUUGUGACCUUCAAGAUCACAGCUUGGGCAAUGCAAGGUUUAGUAUGCCUUCUUAAUUUUUGUUCUUUUAGAAGAUGUUCCUUCGUCAUUUAUAUAUUUUCUUCUUGUUUUUUUGGGCCUUCCUGGACGCUUCCUGAUUGGUGCGGGAACCGUUCUGAAAUAGUCAGUUGGUUUCCAAUAUUCUUGACCUUCAGUAGGUCUGACACAAAAGUUGUAUUUUGCUUCCAAUGUGAGUCAUCCAUGAUAAUAAUCUUCUGAUUUUUCCCGAAUCCAUGCAAUGGCUGAACAUGCAUGUUCACAUGGCAUGCCUAAACAAAAUUAAUAAAAAAUAAAAUAUGUGUUAUGCUUAUAAUUUCUAGUCAAACAUAGAUGAAAUUAUUUAAAUUAAAGUUGUAUUGUUUGAUAGAAUGUGAGAUGUGGCAAAUUAUUUAAAUUAAUUUUGUAUACUAUAACGACAGAAACCAUUUGAAUCAUAUUAUUUUGUUUGAUUCAUAGGUUUGAAAGGUAGCAAACCAUGCACAACUCCUUUGACUGUAAGUUAAUUUUUGAUUAAUUCUUAUCUCACUCAACAAGAUUUUUUUUUUAAUGUUACAUUACAUCCCCAAUAUAUAAGAGUCAAUUUUGUAGCUUUGUGCUCUCAUCAUACCACAGUCACACAUAAAGGAGCAAAACAAAUAAAUUAUAUGAUACUCUUUGGUCUCAUAAUUCAUUUUGCCUGAACCUUAUACAUGAGAAUUCCAAGCAUUUGAAACUUGAAACUGAAAUUCCAAGCUUUAUCUAAUAAGACAAGUAUAUAUUAUAGGGUGGGUAUUCACAAACAUGACAACAUCACAAAGUAUUCUUUUUGUAAAAAAAAAACGCAUAAAUUUUUUUUUUUUGGAAUGAAAAACGCAUAAUGUAUUUGUUUACGAAAUAUCCUAACAACAAAAUUCAACUCAAAUCUAAUCGCUAGCUAUGAAAAUACAUACUUGAUGAAUAAUUUCUUUAUCAACUUCAACACAAGUAUUUUUAUUUUUUUUUCAAGGAAACUUCAGGAUGAGCUUCACUUGGUUUUUUUUUUUCUUUUUUUUUCUGUCUUUUCCUCGAUCACAAAGAAAAAUUAUUAUAUAAUUAUUCUAGACUCGCAUAUAUACCUUUGGUCGAAAAUUGUUUCAAUGACUCAUGAAUGGAACAAAUGAUUUGUUUAUCAAAAUUAUUUAAGUAUGAUACAUGUUAAAAAAUUUUGAUAGCUAGUUACACACGAUAGUUAUUAGAUUAAAGAAUCUUCUAGAUCUUCAAUAUAUAUCCAUUUUUUUCAACUCGUUUCCGCAUCAUAAUAAAUCCGGGAUAACCCAAAGAGUCUUGCCAACGAUAUAUUUAAUACAAUUUGUAAAUUUCUGGUUUACAAUAAUAUAUGUUUCCACUCCUUAAAAAAAAUAAUAUGUGCUUCCAUUGCACUAAUAAUAUAAUAUGUAAACUUCAGGUUUACAAUAAUAUGUGAUUCAAUUGCACUAAUAUAAGUGUAGUAUAAAUCAAGAGAUAAAGAUAUAUAUUUUUCACUACACUUAUUUUCUUCAGAGUAUAUCUCUUAACAUAAAGAUAAUUAACAUUUUUUUUUCUUCUAUAUGAUAUGAAUUUAGAAUGAUAUACUUGAAACGGAAUAAAUUUUUAUGAAAUUAGUUUCAUAUAAUGCUCUACUGGAUAUCAUAUAAUGCAUUCUCAAUGCGUAAUUCUAUUACUCUGUAUAACAAUAUAUUUUCUCUUCUGGAACCUUCAAUAUUUUUUAUUUAUUUUUUAGCAUCAAAUGUAAUAAUAAAAUUAGUUUCUUUGUAUCACUCAUCUAAACAUUUUUAUAUUCUUUUGCAUAAGAAAUCUUUCAAACAACAUCCAACAAAAUAUACCUAAAAUUAUUGUGCUCCUUAGUGAAUCCAAAUUCUAGGAGCAAUACUUGCUCGAAACUUCGAAAUAGUUUAUGCAUACUUUUUAGAAGGAAUUUAAAAUACAAAUCUAAUUUACAGUGAUUCUGUCAACUAACAAGAAUUCCAUUUCAAAACAAUAUAGUUCGUAAAUCUCAAUUGUUUCAAAAAUAGCAAUAAUAUCAAAUUCAUAAGCACGGUACCUACUAUUUCCUUAGAAAAAGAAAUUAUGUGGAUCACAAAUGAGUGUUGAAUGUGCACAAAGAUGAUAUAGAUGACAAUACCUCUUAUUUAUAUGUCUUGUGAGAACUAGGCAUGGCAAUGGGGAGGGGUGGGGACGGGUUUUACCUUCCCCAUCCCCAUACCCGAUUCUCAUAUACUUACCCGCUACCCUACCCAUACUCAACGGGGAUGAGAAAUUGAAUCCUAUCCCCGUCCCCGACGGGUUCGGGUAUCCCCGCCCCAUCCCCGUCCCCGCAUUGAAUAAUUUUUUUAAUAAAAAAUAUAAGUUUUUUUGCAUCCCGUAGAUCAACAAUAAGCUCACUUUCACAUUUGUUAGACAAAAUUAUUUAGUUGAUCCUUUAAAUAUAAAUGGUAGUUUUUAUUAACAUGACAAUUAUCAAACAAAAUAACAUAACAUAUCAACAUAAAGUAGUUUUUUACAUUUGGGACGGGUUGGGGUAUGGGUUCGGGGUGGGUACCUAUAUACCCGUUACCCGUCCCAUACCCGUGUUUCGAGAUCGGGGAAAACCCAUACUCAUACCCAAACCCAGUCAAAACGGGAAAAAUCCGUCAAAUUGGGUUUGGUUCGGGCGGGUAACCACGGAUAUGGGUUUUGUUGCCAUGCCUAAUGAGAACUCAUUAGUAGCAAAAAUCAUAAUCAUCAUAAGUCAUAAAAAACUUUUGCAAUCUUCACGUGUAUCAUAUUAAUGAUAAUCUCUGUUAUAUCAAUUCUUGACAUUAUUUUCCCAAUUUUGCUACUUUGGGAGCAUAUUCAAUUGACAAUAUUUUUUUUUGUUCAACUUAUACUAAGAUCAAAUAGAUCUGGUUCUUUGAGAACUCAUCCACAAACCUCUAUCGACAAUGACAAAGGAAAAUCAUGAUAUUUUUAUUUUGCAAUAUUUCACAAAUGCUUGAUGGUAAAUUAUCAGUUCUUCUAGAACCAUAUCUCAAAUCUUCAUAAUAAAUAAAAUUCAUUCUUUGAGGAAUCCUUCAGAGAUGCAAUUUAAUAUUAAAUUUUAGUUCUUCAGAACUAUCUCUCAAAUCUUCAUAAAGAAUGAUCGAGAAAAUUCCUUGUUUGAGCGAUCCUUCAAAGAUUCUUUAAUAUUACAAGAAAAUUAGUUCUUCAAGAACUAUAUUACAUGUGAUCUUCAUAUCAAGAAAAAUUCUUUCCUUGCACAAUCUUUCAGGAAUACUUAAUAUUAAAUUAUUCAAAAACUUCUUAUGAUUUCAAUCUUAAAGGAACUAUAUUACUAGAAUUUUUUUCCCGAAAUAUUAAGAGCCUCAAAAUCAAGUUUUGUAAGGUUCGACAUAAUGAGUACUAUAAUAAAAGUUUAAACAAGUUCGAUAAUAUAAAAAGUAAUUGGAUAAAAUUUGAGUUAAUCAUUUCUAACUCGGCCGGCCUCAAUUGAAGAAUAUAGGGAAAAUUAAAGUAUUGAUACUGAUCACCAACUAGUUUUCCAAAUACAAGGAACCUAUGAGUGUAACAUUGUUGAAUAAUUCAUACAAAAUUUGGAGUUUGAUUGACCAUACGCACACUCCCAUUGAGUCUCUAACUAGUAUAAAACCGGUUAACUUCCUAUGUCUUAUGCACCAACACUAAUAUUAAUAUCACUUCUUAAAAUGGCUAAUUCUUUUUUCUUGUCCUUACUAGUGGUAUUCCACGCUGCUCUUAUGCUUGUCCCAUUGAGUUUUUUUUUUUUUUUUUUUUUUUUAAAAUUGCUAUGGCCGUUAAGUGUCGAUAAAACCUCGGCAAAUAACUACCGCUGGUUAGGUUCCACGACAAUUAACUAUCAAUGGGGACAUUUUGAUCAUUUACGAGUAUUUUCAAUCUUAUUAAGUGUGUGAACAUCAAUUUUCAUGAUGCUUAGCCCGUGGAAAAACGUUAAUAAAGUUUCAAGAGAAAUUCUUAGAUGGGAAUGUAAGUAACAUGUCAGUAUUUACAAACAACCAAUAAAACAUUACACCUCAUUUAAUUUAUUAAAAAAAUAAAAAAUAAAAUAAAGAUGAAACAUGUCCUCCUUAUUGCUUGCUCUUCUUCCGCCAUUAUUUUUUUGAGGAAUUAAUACUGACACAGUUAAAUUAAAUUCGCCAAGAUCCUGUUUCCGAGAAUUUUACUUUUCUUGUACAUUGAGUAAAGUGAUGGACAUUAUAUAUUUGUUCUGAGGACAAGUUACUUUAGUAACAAAGAGGACAGGUAUAAAAAAUAUAUUAAGCAAGCAUAUUUAGUUAUCUUGUUCAUUAGGUAAAGGUUUGAGAAUGAAAAACUAAAGCACUACGCUGAGCCCAUAUUAUAUAAUACUAUAUAAAACGCAUUUUGAUUUAUAUUCCUCAACCAUUAUUAUAUUGAAUGAAUGAUGGCAUCCCAAACUAUUAAAGAAAAAUUUGUCGAGUUAAAAAAUUCAAAGCAAACACCUCCAAAUGCACGACCAAAGAUACAAAGGGUGCAAGAGUAUCUCAGAAGUAGAAAAAACUUUGAGCAGCAUUACUCACCCAAGUUAGUGUCGAUAGGUCCUAUCCAUCAUGACAAUCCAACUCUGAAGUUAGGAGAGAAGUACAAGCUUAUGUGGGCAGCAAAAUACAUAGAAAACACCGGACUUAUUCCAGAGGAACUACACAAAAAGAUUGCAGAUAACAUUGAUGAACUGAAGGGUCGUUUUAGCGAUGAUGUUUUAACUCUAACCGGAAACUCUCUUCAAGGCUUUGAGUGCCUUGAUGAAAAGCUGUCGUGGAUAUUGUUCAUGGAUGGAUGUUCUUUGCUCCAUAUCUUGGAUAACAUUAUGUACCUACUGCCGAUGAAUAUUAAGGUUGAUCAACUGGCUCUUGUGAGGGAGGAUGUGCUUUUGUUGGAGAAUCAACUGCCUUAUGAAGUACUCAAGCUUUUGUGGAAAGAUGAAGAUGAGAGUGGAUUAAUAAAAAGCAUGAGGAGUUUUCACAACUGUAUUUAUUUUGUAGGGUCAGAGGCAGAGAAAGAGAAGGAGGGAAAUGGAGAACAUAGUGUAUCAAUACCAAAUGAGUCACAGUCAGAAACACCCACACAUCUUCUUGAUCUUCAACGUAAAAUCAUCCUCACCACAUCUAAUUCCAAGGUACAUUAGAAUUAACAAUAAAAUGUACUAAAAUAAAUUGAAAUAACAAAAGAAAUUAGAGACAAAAAAUAUUUGGUUACACAAUUAGAAAGGGAGUUUGUCUUUGUUCGGUUUCUAAAUAAUCUUUCCUUUGCAAAAUAUAUUUAUUAUUGUAUAGAGGAAGUAUAAUUUUGAAUUUUUUUUAUCAUCAUAUGAUCCAAUCCAUUUCUGAUUAAACAUAGAAAAAAAUCAAUGAAGCUAAAAUCAGAGAAUGGAGAUGGAAGAAUUCCGAGGAAAACAUCCCGAUUACAUACAGGGGCAUAGAAGAUCUAAGAGCAGUAGGAAUAAGACUUAAGGCAAGCGCAACAGGGAGGCCAACAGACGUAGAUUUCACUGCAGGAUGGUUUACUGCAAAACUGACUAUUCCUGUAAUCUAUGUGAACAACCUUGCAGCCUCUACUUUACUCAACCUGAUAGCAUAUGAGAUGUGUCCAGAUUUUGACAACGACUGUGGGAUCUGUUCUUAUGUAGCUUUGAUGGACUCACUCAUCGACCAUCCGGAAGAUGUGAAGGUAUUGAGAUCAAAAGGGAUUUUGUGCACGGUUUGGAGUGAUGAGGAAGUUGCCAGUCUUUUCAAUAUCAUAGGUACUGACUUGGUAGCUAACAUAGACAAAUAUUUUUAUGUCCAACUGAAAUUACGUGAGCAUUACUUUAAUAAAUACAAGACUUGGAUAGCGCUGGGUUUUCGUACUUACUUAAACAAUCCUUGGGCCGUUAUUGCCUUCCUUGCUGCUUUUACUGCCCUUGCUCUUACUUUCAUUCAGACAUGGUUUACAGUUCACCCGGCUAACAAAUAAAGGUGCUUCGUUAUGACAAUGUUGUUUUCGUUAUGGCAUUCAUCACUUCUCUGUGGAUUUUUAAUAGGUUGAGUUUUUUAUAUGAAUAAAUUUUAGGUUAAGUUUGUGUGUACGUCGCCAUGACUAUGAGUACUAAUAAAUAAAUAGUGACUUUUUCUUUGUGCUGAGCGUUUCAAUUGAAAACAUGAAUAAAUUAAUAUUCUCAUUGAUGAUCUACUGUUACUCUAUUGGUGCGAUUAUUUUGAUUUUGUUAGAUGAGUUAUUUAAUAUUGUGUUUAUCGACAUUGCAAUAAGUGACUAGACCAAAUGAGUUAAUAAGACAAUUAUAUAUUAUAGGGUAUUCAUAGACAUGACAACACACAAAGUAUACUCGUUUAGGAAAUAAGCUAACAACAAAAUUCAACUCAAAUCUAAUCACUACAAGUUAUAAAAAUGAUAAUAUUUUUAGGUUAAAUAUGUUUUUGGUCCGUAUAAAUAUAUAAACUAUUCUGCAAAAUUUUGUUAAAAUAUAAAUUCUAUGGAUUCAGAGUCGAAGAAUUAUUUUACAGAGACUAAAACGAAAAGUUUGUAUAUUUACAAGAAACAAAAACAUAUAUAUUUAAGCAUUUCAUUAUCAACUUCCGCAAAGAGGUUUUUUUUUUGUUAAAUAUGUUUUUGAUUCCUAUAAAAAUACCAACUUUUUUACUUUGGUCCCUCUAAAAUUUUCCUUCGACAUUUAGUCAUUAUAAAAUUUUCAAUCACACCUUUUGGUCCCUAUUUUAAAAUCAACUCAUGUUUUUUUAAUGAAAUUGUGCAAAAAUGUGUAAAAUAUUGUAAAAAUCUCUUCCAAUUAUUUUUUUAACAAAACAUGAAACAAAUAUGAAUUUUAAACCAUAAAAAAUUCAUAUUUAAUUCAUGUUUUGUUAAAAAAUUAUAACUUUUUUUUAGAGAAAUGCUUAUAAUAUUAUAAACUUUUAUGCAAAAUUUCAUUCAAAAAUAUGAAUUAUACAUACGAGUUUACUUAAAAUGAGGGAUAAAAAAUGAAGAUGGAAAACUUUUGGGAGACUAUAAAGAUCGACGAAAAGUUUUAGAGAGACUAAAACGAAAAGUUGAUAUAUUUAUUGGGACCAAAAAUAUAUUUAACCCUUUUUUUUUUUACCGAAACUUUGGCACAAGCUUCUUCACUGUAUGAUUAUAUAAUUCUAGACUCACACAUAUACUUAAUGACACGUCAUCUUACGUUAUUCUUAGCAUAUUUUUCAAUCAUUUUUAGUAGGUUUUACCAGUAUAACAGAAGAGUAUUUAGAACAAUUGCCUAUGAGUUCGAGACAUUUGUAAUGUUUUCUAUAUUUGAAUCUGUAAUUCUAUUCUUCCUGAAACAUAGCAAUUCUAGGGUGUUUUCUAUAUCAAAUGCAAUGACAACUCCAAAUCUUCUUUUGGUUUGGUCGUUGCAAAAUCUCAAAGUUGAUGAUCACGCUAAAUUCUCUUUUAGUUUGAUCAUCGCAAAUUUAAAUAUGAAUACAAUCAAACUCCCGUAAUAAGUUUUUGCACAAUCAAUUUAUUUUUGCUCGCAUUUAUCACAACAAAACAUUUACCUUAAAUUCAACAAAAAAUCAUUUUAUGACCCAAAACUGCGUAGCUGUGAAUUUUCAAUCGCACUCAUAGACACGUCCAAGCAAUAUACCACUUUUGUCAAGCACAAUAAUAACAAAAAUAUUCCCUCAGUUUAAAACCAAACCAUUUUCAUUUAAAAAUCAUAUUUUAAUUCGCAUUUAAUGAUAAGAAGAAAUAAAUAUUUUUGAAGUUAACAAAAUCAUGCACAAGCGAUUCUCCAUUAGGCUUAUUUAACUUCUUAGAAACAAACAAUUUUUUUGUUUUAAAGUAUUUUUCCAACGUUUUCCCUAUUUUAAUAAACAUCGCUUGCAACUUCAUUGUACUUCAUGCAAUCCUCGAAUUUUUAGACCGCUACACCUACUUAUACUAAUCCAUGAGACUACUUUUUAACCUUUAUGUUACCCUGUUAAGGGAAUUACUAUUACGAGUAAUCAUAACUCAUUCAUAAAAUAUACAAGACUAUAUAAUAAAAGAGUCUUAUUAAUCAAAGUCCCCGGGACACUAGUUAAGAAAACAAAAAAGUAAAUAUUUACAUUGAAAACAUCAUUCUUUACACUUCUUAAACUUUGAUUAUACAAAUUCAAAGCAUAUACUAUAUUUGGUUCAGUUAACAUUUUCCAUUAUAAAAUUGCAACACAUAUUAUUAUCUUAUUCAUUUUACUUGCUAUAGAAACUUGAGUGUACAGUCUAGAGUAACCCCUCUUCUGACAUAGCAAGCCAGAAACACUUACAAAUGCAUGUCUUGUUACCAACAGGUCCGUCCAGAGUAUACCGUUUGCAUCUAUCACACACAACUACAUGUUGAAUACAAGCAAUUUUAAGACUCCAUCAGCCAACAACUUAGGGGUAAUUGUUUUGGACUAAGCCAAGCCAAGGCCCAUAUACCCUUGCGGACUGGGUCCACCCCCUCCCUUGCUUAACGCGUGAACGAACCAUAAUGUACACCUUCCCAAACUCUACUAAAUCAGAGUCGGGUAGGCCAAUCUAGAUCUUCCAAAUUUGAUCUAAGGCUAACUCGUCAUAAUCAGCUCACAGGUGUCCACUAAGGACAAUUUUCCGGGUAAAGGCUUGAGUGCUAGAACCCCUAGUUUCUUAAUAUAAAGGCUAACUCAUAAGUGUCUCUUAACCACAACACUUGCUGACUUGACCAUGGAAUGUUUGUAGGUACACCACCUCCCUCCAUAGAAAAAGGAAGUUACUGAUUGAAAGAAGGAAGUACACACCAUCUACCCCAAAUGCCCCUCAACCACAGUGCUCUCAAACAAUAGAUCUCAAGUCUGGUAAACAAUUAAUGAGUUAGAGAUACCUGCUCAUCUUUUUGAUCUUCAGCAUAAUAUCCUCCUCACUACUUCUAAUUCCAAGGUACAAUAGAAAUUAGAGAUAAAAGUAAAAAUUAUAUUGUUACUAAAUUUGUCUUAUUAAAAUUUAGGCUUAAUUGCUAUUUUCGUCCCUUAACUAAUUUUUUAGUAUCGCUUUGGUCCCAUAAUUAAUAAAAAGUCCGUUUAAGUCCUUUAAAUAUGUCUUCGUUACAUAAAUUGGUCCCUUCCGUUAAUUUUAUUAAAAAAAACGUUAACUCAAGCACACGUGUCAUUUUUGCAUUGGUUAGAAUUUAUAUUCAUCUUCUUCCAACUCACCUUCAUCUUUUUCAACAAAUCUUUUUUUUACCCAGAAGAAUUUUUUUUUUUUUUACCUUUAUCAUAUGAAAUCCAAAUCUAAACACUUUAUUUUUUUCUCUUUUUCUUCAUCUUCUUCCAUCAUCUUUUCAUCAUCAUCAAUAAAAUUUCCAAGAAACACAGAAAAUCAAAAUAAAAUAAAAUUAAGUCUUAUUCUUUAAUUACUACACCAUCAACACACACUUUUUCUUUAUUGUAUUUUCCCAUCAAAACCAUUUUGUAACAAUAGGAAAACUUUCUCAAUCACAACCAUGCAAUCUCAUCAUCAAGGUUAUGAACACCAAUUAUAUGUUUUGUUGUUGUUCUUGUCUUGAACCCCAAUUUUCAUUAUUCGUUGAUUUUUAACACAAACACGCAAACACAAAGCCAACAUCAGCGUGCAUCACAAAACCAACACACAUCACACACAAAUCUUCAUUAACAUUUUUUUCUUCAAAUUUCAACCUUCUUCCAUUCUUUAUUUGUUGUUCCUCUUCUUUCUUCCUCUUUGUUCCUGUUCUCUUCUUCCAAUCUUUCAUAAAAAAACUCAUUUUCGAAUGCCAAUCAUUCAUCAUCAAUAGCAAUCCUUUCAAAUUCCAAUCUAAACCCAUUUUUGGAUCUAAUCUAAAUUCUUCCAAAUCCCAAUCUAAACCCAUUUUGUUGUUGUUGUUGCUGUUGUGUUUUUGUUGGGGAGCAAAUUUGGACCAGAUUUAUUGUGUUGUGUUGUUAUUGCAACUUGAUUUUCUUUUCCACAGAUUGAACCAAAAAGAAGGAAAUUUUCUGCAGAUUUUUAUUUCUGCAGAUUUGAAUGAACAACAAAACACAUCAAAAAAACUUUACAUUUAUCAUAUGAAAUCCAAAUCUAAACCCUUUAUCAUGGUGAUGGGUUUAGAUCAGAAAAUGAGUUUUUGUGAAGAUUGAUGAUGAUGAUGAAGGGUUUAGAUUGAAUUUGAAAAUGAAUUUUUUUUUCUCCAUUUUCUAUUUCCAUGCUUAAGAAUCAAUUUGUUUUCUUCCAAUUUCAAUUUCAAGGUUCGAUUUUUUUUCUUCAAUUUUUUGUUUUGCUGGGUUUUUUUCAUGAAGGUUGAUGAGGAAGAAGAUGAAGAAGUUGAAUGAAGGUGAUGACUUGUACAAACCCUAACAGUUUUUUAAUAAAAUUGAAGAAAGGGACCAAUUUAUGUAACGGAGACAUAUUUAAAGGACUCAAACGGACUUUUUAUUAAUUAUGGGACCAAAGCGAUACCAAAAAAUAAGUUAAGGGACAAAAAUAUCAAUUCAGCCUAAAACUUAACAACAAAAUUAGAAACAGAUUUUUUGCCUUUUCCCGUUUCUAAAUUUGCUACCAUGUGGAGGAUAGUAAUUAGAGAGGGUUGCCAUUAAAAGAAAAAGGUAAUUAGAGAGGGUUAAACUAAAAUAAAUUAAUUAAUACUAGGUAGAAAGAUAAAAUAACACUAGUUUUAAAAUAAUUUUUCUUUGCAAAAUGUAAUGUUUAUUAUUGUAAGAGGAAAUAAAUUUUUAAAUUUUAUUGUUCUAAUCCAAUCCAUUUCUGUUUAAAACAUAGAAUAAAACCAAUGAAGCUAACAAAAAGAAAUGGAGAAAUAAGAGUUUAGAUGUAAACGUCAAGAUGAUGACAUACAGGAGCAUAAAAGAUCUAAGAAAAAUAGGAAUAAGACUUAAGUCUAGCAAGACACAAAGUCCAAGAGACAUGGAUUUCUCCGAAGGAUGAUUGGUUGCAAAACUGACAUUACCUGAGAUCGUUGUGGACGACACAUCAGCUGCUACUUUCCUCAACUUAAUAGCGUAUGAGAUGUGUCCAGAUUUUAAGAACGACUAUGGAUUUUGUUCUUUUGCAGCUUUCAUGGACUCACUCAUUGAGCAUCCUGAAGAAGUGAAGCUAUUGAGAUCAAAAGGGAUUUUGCUCAAUUCCCUUGGGAGUGAUGAGGAAAUUGCCGAUCUUUUCAAAAUCAUAGGUACUGACUUGAUACCUAAUACUGAAACAUACUUUGAAGUAAGAGCCAAAAUAGAUGAACAUUACAUGUGAAUUCGAAGCAUUUGAAACACGAGAAUUUCAAGCAUUUGAAACUUCAAUUCCAAGCUUUAUCUAAUAAGACAAGUAUAUAUUAUAGGGUGGGUAUUCAUAGACAUGAUAACGCACAAAGUAUUUUUUUUCAAAAAUAAAAAGCACAAAAGUAUUUAUUUACGAAAUAACUUAACAACAAAAUUCAACUCAAAUCUAAUCACUAGCUAUGAAAAUGACAGACUUGAUGAUGAUGAAUAAUUUCUUUAUCAACUUCAGCACAAGCAUUUUUUAUUUUUUUAAGGAAACUUCAGCACAAGCUUCACUUAGUUUUUUUCCGGUCUUUUCCUCGAUCACUGAAGAAGAAAAAUGAUUAUAUAAUUGGAAUAUGGUUUCAAUAAUUCAUGAAUGGAACAAAUGACUUAUUUAUCAAAAUUAUUUAAGUGUGGUACAUGUUAAAAAUUUAUAAUCAAAUGCAAUAAAAUAGAGAUGCGAUUAAGUGCAAUAGAAAAGCGGAGAAACGGGACUUCCCAUCUUCCACUAGUAGAGCUUAAAAAAAAACUCAAUUAUUUUAAGGCUCCAAUGGUUAGAAGUAGUAAGGUAACAAUGACAUAUUUAUAGAUUUGAUGAAAUUAAGCGACUUCGUAUAUUUUACGAGAGCCAAAACUCUAUAUAGGUUGAUAUAUGAGCUAUAACAGAUGUUCUUUGGCAAAUGAGCACCUUCGAUUGAUGUCGACGAUGAUUGUGGAACAAAAAAAAAUGACACAAUCAUGUAAAGGGAUAAUGCAAAUUGACCUGGUGUAUUCUUUAUAUUUGAGUAUGGUGGAACAUGAAAAAAAAAAUUAUUUGGAGAGCUCUAUCAUUUGCAAUGUGCUCAAGAGGGAAUAUUAUGUUGACCGUUGCUUCAAGCGGUAUUGUAGCAUUGCUCAUACUUGGGGAAGAACAACACAUUUGAGGUUUAAUCUUACAAUAAUUGUUGAUAAAUUUUUAACUUGCGGCAUACAUCCCAAAAGUCCAUUAGCCGAGCUGAUUGUUAAUACAAAGCUUAUCAUAUGGGAUGAUGCACACAUUUUUUUGAAGCUCUUGAUCGUAGUUUAAGGGAUAUUCUUAGACAUAAAAAACAACUAUAGGUUGGAAUUCCUUUUGGUGGAAAAGUUGUUGUGCUAGGUGGAGAUUUUCGACAAAUUCUUCCAGUUAUACCCAAAGGAACAAGACAAGAAGUUGUUCAUGCAAGCAUUAAUUCUUCGUAUCUUUGGCAUUAUUAUGAACUUUUAACACUAACAACUAAUAUGAGGCUCUUACAUGAUUAUUCAAGUCAUGACCUUCGUAAAAGAAAAGAAUUAGGCGAGUGGGUCCUCAAAAUUGGUGAUGGGAGUAUUGGGGAAGUGAAUGAUGAAGAUAUAAAGCUUCAAAUUCCAGGUGAUUUGCCUAUUCACAACACAGGAGAUCAUAUUGCAUCUAUUGUUGACUGCAUAUAUCCAUCUCUUUUACGUAACAUGCAUGAUCCCUCGUUUUUCUAAGAUAGAGUUAUUUUGACACCUAAAAUUGUCACUGUUGAUGAGAUUAAUGAUUAUAAUUUGUCUCUCAUUCUUGGUGAAGAAAAGACAUAUUUGAGUUGUGAUUCUUCUUGCUUAAGCCCAUCAACGGUCAAUAGGCCAGAUGAUAUCCAUACACCAUAAUUUUUUAACUCAAUUAAUUCUUCUAAUCUCCAAAAUAAAAAAGUAAAUUUAAAGUUGGAGUUUAUGUGAUGUUAUUGAUAAAUUUGAACCAAACGGCAGGCCUAUGGAAUAGAACUAGGAUGAUAAAAGAUGGGAGAUGUGUUCUUGAAGGAAAGGUGAUAACAUGAAGCAACAUUGGCGAUAAGGUAUGGAUGCCUAGGUUAUCAUUGACACCUUCUGAUACAUGAAUUCCUUUUAAAUUUUAACGUAGACAAUUUCUUAUAUAUAGGUGUAUGUUAUGCAAUGACUAUUAACAAAAAUCAAGGACAAUCACUCAAACAAAUUGGCGUAUAUCUUCCACAACUCGUAUUCUUGCAUGGUAAACUGUGUAUGUUGCAAUAUCAUGAGUUACAAUAUUGGUCCGAAAAUUUUGCUAAUAGAUGAAGGUGUUUGCAUUUAUAGUACUUUGAAUGUAGUGUAUAAAGAAAUUUUUCGAAGAAUGUGUAAACAUGGGAAACUUCAAAUAUAAUAUUGUAUUUAUUAUUAUAACAUUAAAAUUAUAAAAUUGGUAUGUACUAUAUAAUUUUGCUUUUAUCUACUACAUCUACGGUGUAUAUGACCCAUGCGGUAGCACGCACAUGUCGAUGAUCUAGUUAGGUUUCUAAUCCCAAGGAGUUAAAAGGCAAGCAAGAAGUACCAAACAAACAAAAAAAAAGUAAGAAAUAGAAGAAGAAGAAGCUGCAUGUGCAUGGAUUUAAAUUCUAGAACAGUAAAAGCAAAGAUCUUUUUUCCAUGAAUUUUACUUUUCUUGUCCAUUGAGUAAAGCGGUGGACAUAUAGUUCGUUCCGAGGACAAGUUACUUUAGCAGUGAAGAGGACAAGUAUAAAAAUUUAUUAAAGUCGAAAUUUAAGAUAGUUUUUUUAAGAAAGCAGAUUUACUUAACUUGUUCAUUAGGUAAAGGUUUGAGAGCAUGAAAAUUUAAAGCACUACACUGAUCCCUUAUAAUCGUUAAUUUUGAAAGAUCAAUAUCCCUCAAAUAUUAUAUUGAAUGAAGGAUGGCAUCCCAAACUAUUAAAGAAAAAUUUGUGGAGCUACAAAAAUCAAUGCAAACACCCCAAAAUUCACGACCGAAGAUACAAAGGGUGGUUGACCGUUUCAGAAAUAGAACAAAUUUUGAGAAGCAUUACUCACCCAAGUUUGUGUCAUUAGGUCCUAUCCAUCAUGACAAUCCAAAUCUGAAGAAAGGAGAGAAGUACAAACUUAUGUGGGCAGCAAAAUACAUAGAAAACACCAGACACAUUCCAGAGGAUCUACACAAAAAGAUUGCAGAUAACAUUGAUGAACUGAAGGGUCAUUUUGACAACGAUGUUUUAGCUUCAACCAGUUGGUCUCUUGAAGGCUUUGGUAGCCUUGAAGAAAAGCUAUCGUGGAUGUUGUUCGUGGAUGGAUGUUCUUUGCUUCAUAUCUUGGAGAGAGCCAAGCUUGAUGAACCAGGGCAAAUGAAUAUCAAGGUUGAUCAACUUGUUCUUGUAAUGAUGGAUGUGCUUUUGUUGGAGAAUCAACUUCCUUAUCAAGUACUCAAGCUAUUGUGGAAAGAUGAAGACCAGAGUGGAUUGAUAAAAAGCAUGAUGAAUUUCCUCGCCUGUCAUCAUUGGGCCACACCAGAUGAGUCACAGUCAGAGAAGAAGAAGGACAUGGUUCCAAAAAGAAAAGCAGAAAGAGAGCAUAGUUUAUCAAUACGAAAUGAGUCACAGUUAGAGACACCCUUUCAUCUUCUUGAUCUUCAACGUAAUAUCAUCCUCAUUACAUCUACAACCAAGGUACAACAGAAAUAUUAGAGAAAAAAAUUAAAAUUUGUCACUAAAUUAUUUGUCUUUAAAACUUAAUGCAAAAUUAAUAAAAUAUUUUUCCUUUUUCCGUUUCUAAAUUUCAUCACUAUUUCAACUUUUUUUGUAUUAGUUAAAGUUUAACUAUCAUUAAUUUUCAACUUUUUGAGAAAUAAACUGACAUAAUUUUUAGGCUUAAAUAUGUAAAUCGUCCCUGUAAUUUGGCGUGUUUUUGAUUUUCGUCCCUGUAUCUUUUUUUGUUUUAAAACAAUCCCUAUAAGUUAAUAACUUUUUGAUUUUCGUCCCUCCCGUCAACUUCCGUUACAAAAACGCACAUGUGGCAAACGGACGAUGACGUGGUAGUGCCUGACGUGGCAGACGAUGCUGACGUGGAAAACUUAUUGAUGAGUCACACAGUGAGAGGGACCAAAAUCAAAAAACGAAAUUUGUCGAAGGACCAAAGCCAAAAAAACAAAAUUCGUGAAGGGACCAAAACCAAAACCAAAAAACGAAAUUUGUAGAUGAACUUGACUAUUUCCAGGACCAAAACCAAAAAACGAAAUUUGUAGAGGGACCAAAACCAAAAAACGAGGAGACGAAAAAUUCAAAUUUAAUUACAUUUCUUCAUCUUUUUCCCACAUCUUCUUCUUUAUUACUAUAUAUCAUUGUCUUCAUAAACUUCAUCAUCAUCAUCAACCAAACACAGAAAUUCAUCACUUCAAAAUCCAAAAAUCCAUCAACUCAAAACAACAACAAACUCAAUCCAACACAUUCAAUUAUAACUUCUCUUUUAUUUCUUCUCACAAACAACAAAAUCAAAUUAAACCAAUAUACCCACUGUUCAACGUGCAAUCUAAUUUCACACACUUUAAAAUAAAACUUAUCUCAAUUCAACAUUCCAACAUAUUUUUCAAUUCUAUUUAUUAUCCCUCUAGAACUUCAAAUGAAAAGAAUAUUCAUAUCAAACUUGAACCUUUCUCUUACAAUCCAAUUUCACACAACAAUCUUCCAAAUCAAUCGGAAAUAAAGAACACGACCCAAAUGUUCGAAACAAAAAUGAUGAUAUUAGAGUUCAAAGAAUUGACGAAGAAAGCAUUUGGAGUGACCAAGAAACAGCAGAGAUGCGAGAUCAAUGAUGAGACGAGAGUUGGUAAUGAAAAAAAAUCAUUCUUUAGGUUUUUCAAUUUGAGAAUUUUGUGAAUUUUUUCAAUAUUGGGAAUUCGAGCAUUCACAAUGAGGAUUUUGUUGUUAUAAUUUGAUUUCGAUAUUAUCAAUAAAAGUUUAGUUGUGGAUUUUAGUGUUGAGAUGUCAAUCUGACCAUUGUCAAUGGGAAUUUUGUUUGGGUUUGUGAGAAGUUGUCUAUUGAGAGUGAGAUGAUGAUUUUGAGUUUUUUUUUAAUCUCUUUUCUGAGUAUUUUUUCCUGGGUUUUUUGAUGAAUUUAUGAAGACAAUGAUGAAGAUGUUAAAGAGGUGGAAGGAAGAAGAUGAAGAAAGCUAUUUUUUCUCGCUUUUUGGUUUUGGUCCCUUUACGAAUUUUGUUUUUUUGGCUUUGGUCCCUCUACAAAUUUCGUUUUUUGGUUUUGGUCCCUCUCACUGUGUGACUCAUCAAUAAGUUUGCCACGUCAGGCACUGCCACGUCAUCCUCCGUUUGCCACAUGUGCGUUUUUGUAACGGAAGUUGACGGGAGGGACGAAAAUCAAAAAGUUAUUAACUUACAGGGAUUGUUUUAAAACAAAAAAAGAUACAGGGACGAAAACCAAAAACACGCCAAAUUACAGGAACGAUUUACAUAUUUAAGCCUAAUUUUUAUAUUUGGUAUAUUAUGAACAUGUGCCCUUAGUGCGCAUGUUAUUAUUUUCCAUAUUUUAAUUACAAAGUGGAGAUAGUGAUUAGAGAGGGGUGUGCAUAAUAGUGAUUAGAGGGUUAAACUAAACUAAAAUAUUUAAUACUAAGUAUAAAGGAUGAAAUAACAACUGUUUUAAAAUGUUUUUCUUUGCAAAAUGUGAUAUUUUAUUAUUGCACGAGGAAUGAAAUUUUGAAAUUUUAAUGUUAUGAUCCAAUUCGUUUCUGUUUGAAACAUAGAUUAAAAACAAUGAAGCUAACAAAGAGAAUAUAAGUAAGAAGAGUCGAGAUAUUGAAAAGGUCAAGAUGAUAUACACGAACAUAAAAGAUCUAAAAGCAUUAGGAAUAAGACUUAAGUCAAGCAAGACACGAAGGCCAAGAGACAUAGAUUUCUCCGAAGGAUGGUUCACUGCUGAACUGACUCUUCCUGAGAUCGUUGUGGACGACACUUCAGCCGCUACUUUCCUCAACCUGAUUGCAUAUGAGAUGUGUCCAGAUUUUAACAACGACUAUGGGUUUU